RNAcentral lists this long non-coding RNA (62090 nucleotides) under Daucus carota (carrot). Its description in RNAcentral is "long non-coding RNA (DCAR_LNC006506)". Lineage: Eukaryota; Viridiplantae; Streptophyta; Magnoliopsida; Apiales; Apiaceae. The record is from RNAcentral.
AGAUAUUUGGUGGUAAUUUUUAUUGUGACAUUUCCAUUAUAAAAUAUCAAUGUUGUUGCAUUAGUAAAGCUCUGUAACUUGUUUUAUAUGUUCACUAUUGUAGUUAGUCGAUCUGAAUUUAAAAGGAGGUGCAGAGAUGUUGGUAUUAAAAGGUGGCAAUAUGGCAAGAGAAAGAUGGGUAGCAACCGUUCUUCAAAGCACAAGCAAAGACUAAACAAUGGGUAUUCGACAGACAUGCCUCAUGUGCAAGAUCAACCUGUUAUUGCCCUUACAACCCGGGUCUAGAAUACGAUGGAUGUAAGGGUAAUGUAUAACGACCUCAUUAUAAGGUUUGAACUGCCUGAACUAUCAGGAAUAUCAGAGUUAGAAGACAAUGUGAUUAAGAGGCUGCACUUGGAUAGACAGAGUUUCAGCAUCAAGUAUGAAGAUGAUGGCGGUCAUUGGGUUUUAAUUACUUGUGACGAGGAUGUGCAGUACUGUAUGAAAAUGUCAAGAUUAUGGAAGAAGAAAACUAUUAAUAUGUUGGUUAGCCAGACUGCUAAUCUUUAAGCUCCUUGAAAGCAGAUGGCACCCAUUUUUUACCCUCCCAGAGAUAUUUAUAUGAUCUGCUUGCUGCCUUUUCUACAGCAGUAUGACAUCACUAAUAUUACAGACCACAGCAAUAGUUUGGCGUGUAGCAUAACUCCAAUAGAUGUUGCAGACUUGUAGCAUAACUAUUAUCUUCUGAGAUUUGUUAUUUUUUUAGUACAUAGUCGAUGUGCAAGUUAUCACACUGUACUGAAGGGCACUGGGAAUAACUACGUAGUCAACCUGAAAAUCUUGUUUCUCUGUCAAAUGAUGCGGUUAUUUUGGAAAUUUAUAAUUUCUUAAAAAUUAUAAACCAAAAAAGUGUGUGCAUUUAGUGUAAUUAUAAAUCUGUAUACUUCUUUCUCCACUUUUUUAGUGCUGUGUUUUCAGUUUCAGCCAGUUUGCGAUUGUUAAAUGUAUUCUGUAAACUUCAUGUCUUUCAGCUUCUUGUGAAAAAAUAUACCAUGGAGAGGCUAGCAGAGAUAUACAGCAAAAGUUGCUUAGAGUGCUCUAACAGAGAAAGUGAUGAUGAGUAUGAUUGGAUUCCUGCAAAGAUUUUAAGGUGUUUCUAUGACAAAGAUUUCAGGCAAGUUACAUUAUCUUGCGUACAGACAUAUAUAUAAACAUAUGUAGGAAAAUAAGUACACUUUACUAGCAUGAAGCUCUUGGAGAACUUUUCUAAUUUGAUGUCUUAAACCAUAUGAAUGUUCCUUUUUAAUCUUGUAUAAUUAUAUUGAGGAUAGGAGGUAUAAUGAGACACUAUUGAGGUCCCGGGAACAACAUGAUUGAAAAUUAUAUAUACUCUACAGGUCAGAUGCUGUCGAACCUAUCCUAUGCUCAUCCCUUUUUCCCAAUGAGUUUUCUGUCAAAGAUAAGGUUAGAAAAUGGGUUAGAGUUUUUCCAAGAUUUGACAGAUUGAAAUAAAGGCUCUUGAAAAAAUACUGUUGCAAAGCAAAGGUAAGCUGUUAUGCAACUCUCCAUAUCCUUGUUCAUUUAUAUUCGCAUUAAUUUUAUUGAAUGCUCUUCCUACUUGGUUUGCAGGUUACAGCAAGAGAUGCUGAGGUAUCUUUCCUCAAGGCAGAUGCAUCAGGUAUGCCAACUGAACAGAAAAAGAGAUGAGAGAAAUUUUCUUCUAAAAUUGAUAGAGUGAAAAAUAAGGGCAUAUAUUACAUGUUUCUGCAUGGUGUUUAGUGAGUGAUUUACUGAUUUACCAGGUGAUGAUAAAAAAAAAAAAAAAAAANGAAAAAAAAAAAAAAAAAAAAAAAAAAAAAGCAUAAAGAAAGCUACUAGAAGAAAAAAUGAGAAGGGAGAACUAUUAGUUUGAACUAUCUAUUCUCAAUCAUUUGCAGGAGAAUGAUGUUCCAGAGUUCCAGAAAAAGGCUAUGACUUGCUUCCGCAUUAUGUCUCGUAGUUUUAUAGAUCCAGGAAAAACAGAGGAGAACAUUUUAAUACGUGAUGAAUUAAAAGAUGCUGAUGUUUGGAAAAAUAUUACAACUCUACAUGAUCAAGUACUAUAUGUCUACAAGCUUGUUGUUCUCGGGUACGGAUAUAAAUCAGAAAUAGAUCAUUCAAUAUCAUUAGAGAUGAUAGUUGGUGCAUAAAUGCCCUUUCCAGUGAUUCCUAAACAAAAUUUUCUGCAGGAUGAUGUACUAAAGAUCCUUGGGGAGAAGCAUGGACUCUAUGAGUAUUACGUGCUCUCUCGAUGAAAUGUUCAUAUAUACUCUUUAACAAAGAACAUGUCAAAGAAAUCCUUCAAGAGGCUGAUAUGCAGAAAUCUUCUGGGAAUGCAGAGUUUACUUUGUCUUGCAUGAAUAUACUUGUGGUAGAACUUUUAUCCCACACCCAGUAUAUUGCUUAUCAUAUAGAAUUAUAGAUCAUAAAAUAUAUGGUGAUGUGAUCGUCAUUUGCAGUUGUGCUACACGUGAUUUUUUUCUGAGUUUUAUUAUUAAUAUAUUAAAGAAACACAUAUAUUCGUUACCAAAUUGUAAAUUUUUCGGAUCCAGACUAGGGUGCAGACCUCUGAACAAACAUGGUGAUGGCCACAAUGUAAAAUAUCGUAUUAACAGCGGUUAAAAAAAUAUAUCGCAUUAACAGCGGCUAAAAAAAUAAUCGAUGUCUAUGUUAUUUUUGACAUCAGUUAAUAUAAUAACUCAUGUCUAACUUCUUUGAAUUAAAAACAAAAAGGACGUGGCAACUCCUGUUUUGUACCCCUCUCAUAUGUUUCCCGUGUAUUUCCCCUUAGUCAAAUUUUCAUUCCCCCAAUUUUUUUAACCCCACCCAAAUUCAGACAAAAUAAACACCAUCUUAUUCAAUAUUUUUUUUUGUCACAAGAUACUUUCUCGUAUGAUAAAUUGUAUCAGAAUACAAUAGCCGCUCUUUCGUUCAAGAAAGUUUACCAUCUAACCCUCGGACAUGCAGAGAUGACCGGGGACACUUAGACAAUAAAGCUUUAAUGUUCGAUAAGAAAACACCCAUAAGAGGUCCCGCUAUCAUUCUUUUUCCAUUCGCGUAUCUUGAAAAAUACAAUACAAAUAAAAGAAACAUAGUAAGUUCAUACUGAAAAUAGAAUAAUAAAACUAUCCAAAACAAAAGAGAAAAAAAGUCAACAAACUCAUAAAAAAAUAUGAAUAUCAUAUAAUUCUUUAAAGAAUAAGGAAAGUAAAAAUAAAACUGAUGUGAAACAAAACAUUAAAAAAUCUACACCAAAGAGAUAGUGAGAUCUCUUUGGUUAGAUACAUAAUAAAAUAAUAAAUAAUAAAAUUUAACUCCCAGCGGAAAAAAUUGACUAUUAGAUCAAUAAAUAUUAAAAUAAAAUUAGGAAAAUAUAAUUGGAAGUUAAAAUAUGGCUAAGAUAUAUCUACUCAAAUACUCCCUCCGUCCCUUUUUACAUGUCCUUUUUGAAAAAAAAAUUUGUCCCAAAUUACUUGUCCACUUCUCUUUACAAAGUAACUUUUUGUAUGUUUUUUCAAAAUGUAACAAUUUCCAAUGUUUGACUAGCAUAUAUAUAUACACAACUCUAUCUAAUUCAUUACAUUUAUUAGAGAUAUAUAUGAAAACAAGAUAUCCACCUAACAUUUUCUUAAGAUGCGUUAUUUUUUCAAAAGGGACAAGUAAAAAGGGACGGAGGGAGUAUAAGACAAAAUCUUGACGAAUAAAUGUAUCACGAUUAUAGUUAAUUAUCAUUAUCAACACCAUAUAAAUUUGGUAUACACCAAUCAACAAAUCAACCCUUAAUGGCGCAAUAAUACCUCAUUAAGGCACAAUAAGCCAUCAUAAAUGGCACUCAUGAAUUAUGGAAUUCAGGUACAAAAUCAGCAAUAAGCAUUCUAUCAAUUAAUUUUCUAAUUAUACACAAAAUUUCAAAAUAAAGCAUGUAGAAAAACGUAAGUUUCAAAGAAAAGCAAAUUUAAAGGUAGUCAACUUGCCAUUCAAAAGGUAACUAAAAUUAAGGUCUACAAUUACUACUAUUAAAAACAAACAAUAUCCAAAAUUACAGAAUUAAAAACAAAAUCAUGCAAUAAAAUUAGUCAAACAGAAUAAUCUACGCGCACUAAUUAAGUCAUCGAGACACCACCUCCACCGCCACCGUUCAAGAACUGCAAACAAUCAUCAUGCACACUAGCGAAAAACUAAAAUCAAGAUAGGAUACGGGACACACAAUUAUAUCUAAUCAUGAAAAAAUAAAUUAUGAACCGCACCACAAGAAAAUAUACUGUAAGAAUAAUCACAUAAUCAUAGUCAUAUAAUUUUAUGUUUUAGAAAGAUCACACCUGUUAGUACGGAUCUUGCCUCAUCAGAUGGACCCAUAUGAAUGAUCAUCUCGCAUCUCCGAUCAACUUGAUGUAGCGUCAACACGGAUAACUGAAACCUAAUUGAUCCGAUUUUUCACCCUCCGGGCAUAUUUUUUGUCCACAUGCUCCGAUCGCCGAGAAAAUGGCGAAUUUAAAUCCUUCUUGGCUUGGAAAAACAAAAGGAAUGGAAAUUUAAACAAAUUAAAACACUCCUUCAUUUCACUCUCCCCGUGUUUCUCUCGUUUCUCCGAGUCGAAGUUGCUCCAACCCUAGCUAAUCAAUCGAAGCUGUUCAACCCUAAUCAAUUUAAGUGCAGAAGCUCUCAAGCCUAAUCUCAAAGUCGAAGCCCCAAGCUGCUCUCUUCAGUUCUCAAAGUCGAAGCCCUAAUUUUUUUAACCUCUUGCAGGUUAUUCAAAAAACCCUAGUUUCCUCUUCAGGUAAUUCUUUUGUUCGUGUUCUUACUCUUCACUUUUGUUGCUCUCUUGCUCUGGUUCUCUUGUUAUUUUGUUGAUUUCGUUUUGUGUUUUUGCAAUUAGUUUCUUGUUUUGGUUUGAUUUGUUUAUAUAUACACCUAGUUUGUUUGGGUUCGAACAUGGUUUUGUUUUUUUGGUUUGUAUUAUGAUUUUGUUAUUUCUGUUUUGGAUGAAGAGAAGUACUCUAAGGAUGAUUUUGUCGGUAUAGUUAACAUUCCUGUUUCUUGGGUUUUGUAAAGUUUGUAAGCAUGAGUGCAAUUAGUUUGUACAUGACUAUGAGUGCAAUUAGUUCUUUUUGUGUUUUCGGUGUAAUUUUGUUGGAUACAUAAGUUAAUGGGGAAAUUUUGUUGUAUAAGAAGCUUUGUUAAAGUGGGAGAGGAAUUAUUUAAUCGUUAAGAAUAAGAUAAUGAAUUAGUUAAUAUAAAAAAUAUUUUAUCAAAAAUAUUGUGUUAAUCAAUUCCUCAAUUAAUCUUAUUUAGGAAUUCAUAAGAACGCUAUAUUUUCUUAAUUUUUUUUUAUAGUUUCGUUAUUUUUUUAAAAAUAUUUGUGAAAAAAUUGUCCGCAACUAUAAGAAACUCGUGCAAUUUUUAUGAUACGAUUUGCAACAAGUGCAACCAAAGCAAUUUUUCGAACAAAUGAGAGUUUAUUCGAUUGUAUUCGCUGAAUUUGUUGCAUACAGUUGCAAACCGAAAAAAUCGCAAAAAAUUACAAAAUUAGUAUUCUUACAAAUAUAUUAAAAAAUUAAAUAUUUGAGAAAAAAAAUAAAAAAGGAGCAUUUUAUUAUAAAAAUGACCAUUAUAUUUUAUCAUGAUUAUAAACAUAUAUAAUACAUAGAAGAUUAUAUGAUUUUGGUAUGUCAAAUCUUUGGUUUUAUGAUACAAUUCUUUUUAAAAAAAUUCUUUGUAAAAGGAGAGCACAAUUACUUUACUCAUUACCUAAUAUAAUUUGAUUUUAGAAACCUUAAUUGAAUUUGUUUUUACAAACAAGUCGGUGCAUAAAAAAUCAAUUAAUUUAUUUAUUGUUUAAUUAAAUUUACCUCAUUACUGCUUCACUACAAAAAUUACAUAUUCUAACAAUAUAAAAAUAAAUAAAAAAUAUGCUCAUGUGAAAGUAACAAUAUUAGUUCCGUUUUUCUUACUGUCAUUUUCUAGACAAAUAUCCACUAAAUCAAAGAUAUAUAAAUCCAUCGACUAACUUAGCUAUUUCAAUAUAAAUUCUUUUAGAGAAUAUAUGUUAUUCCAAUAAAUGGACAUACACUAUAACUCUCUAGCAUCUCAACGUAACGUACAUGUCUAAUAAUUAUAACACGACGCAGGUUUUUGUUUAUAUCCAACAAUAUUACUAGUCAAGGACGUAUUUGUAUAACAUGAUUGUAUAGAUGCAAGGACACCACAAAAGGUGCAUCUCCAAUAUGCCAGAUCCGUCUCCAUCUUUCGUGUCCUUGUAGUGGACUUUCCAACGUUUUUCGGAGAUUUCCAUGAUCUUGCACUUACACCAAUAGUCAGGUGCAUAGUCAGAGUUCCCCUAAAUCUAAUAAAAUCAUUAAAUUAAAAAAUAUUUUGACAUGACAAGAAUACUAUAUAUAAUAAAGAAAAAUGCAUCCAAAUUUGCCGAAAUAGCGUACCAGUAAGAAAAGAUGGUAAUUGUCACUGUUAAAGAGGGCCUCUGUCGUAAAAGCAAAAUCUUGCCACCAGUCAUUAUUCCGCCAUGCAUCAAUGGCUGCUCCAACCUCAUAAGUAGUAGGAGGAUCUUCUGACAUGAACGGAUGGUAAGCUGGUCACAGUGUCUCAUGCUCAGCUUAUCAGGACGUGCAAGUCUUGGUGGUGGAACAUGUUGCUACACAUCAUAUAGUGUUAAAAAAAAUUAUUCAUUCAACAAUACAUUAUAUGUAAUUUCCAAACCAAUUUAUUGCUGAGAUAAAUGUUAAAACUGACAUUGUUUGCACAACAAAGAAAUACAUGAAAAUCACAUAUAUGCCUAGGGCCGGGUUGAGCGUCAAUGAGUGCAGAUUUUUACCUAUGAUGCAUAAAGGACAAUGUUCAACGUAAACAAUAUACUUAACUUGUGACUGGAGUUGAAAAAGUUGUGACCAUCCAAGAAACCAAAGUGCACAAUUCAAUAUAGAACAACUUGAUCAUUUAAAACGGUUGUUUUCCGUACCUUCAAUAUGUCACAUCGGUCUCCAUCCUUCAUGUCCUUGCACUGGACUUUCCAACAUCUUUUGGAGAUUUUCAUGAUCUCGCACUCACACCGGUAGUCAAGCAUGUCUGGUCAGAUACAAAGACCACAUAUAAUAGUUCCAGUAAGCGGCCCCAAUAAUGUAUAUAAUUUUGGUAGUUUUAAAAACUACAUAUUGAUUGCAUAAAUUUACCAACAAAUAAAUAAUUGUUAGAAGCAAACAAAAGUGACAUAAAAUUUUAAUAAUUUAAGAUUAGUCGACAUUGAGUUACCGCCUAUAAAUAUCUCUAAUUCAGACUUAUUUGAAUACUAUAGUAUAAUAUAGAAAGCUAUAAAGUUUAAAAUGUGUUAUUAUAAUAUUUAUGUUUUAAAAGAUUUAAUCAUGUAAAAAUAAAUUUGCUAUAAUAUUAAUUAUAUUUUAAUAUAGUUUUAAUUUAUAAAAUACUAUUUUUUUUAAAAACAAACAACUCAUAAAAAUUUAAUUUCAAAAAUUUUGAAAUAAAAAUAAAAAUUAUGCUACCAAAAUUUCUAGAUCAAUUACUUAAAAAAUUAUCACCGACUAGAUUACUAUAUAUAUGAUAAAUAAACUAUAAAAAGAAGUAUGUAAAUAUUCAACCUUCACUUACCCUGGUAAACUAUAUGAGAUAAUGUUGAAACUGGAGCAUCUUCUUCAUUAUUUUACAAAUAGAUCCAAAAAUAAUGCAAGUAUUGCAAAGUUCUAUACUUCUGUGUGAAAAAUCUGCCAAAUGAGAUGUUAAUCAGCAACCCAAUAAUAAGAUCUAAAAAUAAAUCUACCGAAAAAACAUAAGAAAUGAAUCAAAAAAUAUCGAUAUCGAUUUGAAAUCAAAUAUUUUAACAUAAUUAUAGAUGAUAUAUCUUAACAUACAUCACAAAUCUGUAACAUAUUUAUUGAAAUAUUUUGAUAAGAUUGUGAACGCCUUUUCAUUAAUUGAUAUAAAAUACUAUAUCGGACCAACAAGUAUAAAAUACUUACAUGAAUGACAAACCAUCUCACGAGGGUGAUCUUAUAAUAAUAUUCUUUCAUUCACAAUUGAAGUAGAGUCUCAAAGUCGACACCUGAAUUCACAAAUGAUAGAAUGAAUAACAAGUAACAUAUCUUGAAUACAUAUGUAUGUAUGUGUGUGUGUGUAUUGUGUUAUCACAUACAAGAGAAACUUAUCACAUACAAGAGAAACUGUGCGGCGGAUGUAAUGUUUACGAGAGAUUAUAUAUACGCACAUAAGGUUUUGGACUAUAAAAGGUCUUACCCGGUGGCCCAAAACAAAAACUUAUAAGGAAUACAUGAAGUUGGGACUAAAUCUAAACUGUUUUGUGAAUCAUACUCAACUUGUAAGCAUCUAACGAUUUUAAUAUUAUAAUUUUUUAGAAGAUAUUUUAUUCAUAAAAUUUUAAAGAUGUGGAGUAUUAUGUAUUUUGUAUAAGAAAAAAAUAUUUUUAUUAUCAUAAAUUAUAAUCGGUAGGAUCAAACGAUAACAUUCAAAAUCUUUCAUCAAUGAAUAUUAAGAUUAGACAAAAAUAUUCGUUUUAAUUAUAAUAAUACAAACAUUGGAGGAUGAAAGGUUGAUUUUAUUUGAGAGGCAAUAAUGACUACUUGUUUUUCAAAUUAUUGAGUAAAUGAUAUUAUUAUUAAUUCCUAAAUUAUCAAAAAUUAGAGGCGAAGCAUAAAUUUGAAAAGCAAAUUUCCGAAUUAUCAGUCUGAUAUUCGUUUAAAAAAAUUCGAAAAUUCAGAUAUUUUAUUAGAAAAGUUGGACCAGAAUCUGAUCAACUGAGUAUUUUAUCCAGGUGCAAAAUGCUCGCUUGUGUAAUUAGUGAUGUCAACUGUAAUUGUCUCGUGUAUUUAUGAACAUUUUUACUGCAAAACCACUUCGAGUACCUUCAUAAUUGUAUAUAGUAUAUAUCAUGGUUCAGCUGGUUAAAGAGGGGACAUGUAUCCUCUUGGUCACAGGUUCGACUACCGAAGAGAGCAGAAUUUGUGGUUAUGCCUCCUGGAUCAGAGCCUGUCGUGCUUAGGUGCGGUUUACCUUAGUUCACGUAUGCGGGUUCUUACGUUAAAAAAAAAAUUAAUUUGAGAAUUUAUAAAGCAACAUAGUUAGGGUGAUCACAUAAAUAUAUAUUUAUAGUUAUAUAUAUUUUUAACUACAUAGUUAUGUUAUUUUAGAAAUCCCAAAUUAUUUUGAUAAUAAGUAGGGACAAUUGUGAAGGUACUCGAAGUGAUUUUGCAGUAAAAAGUUAAACGGUUAAUUUUUGAUAUAUGAUUAAGUAUAGAGGUAUGAACAGUGAGGUGGGUAAAAUAAUACAAGUAUAUAUUUGAUUUGUAGUGGUUUAAAUGAGUCGCCGAUAAGAUGUGUCGGGUCAAGUAAGAUAUUUUGACGUAAGAUAGUUUGAUAUAAAACCCGAAUUUUAUCAGGUGCAAAAUGCUCGCUUGUGUAUUUAGUGAUGUAAACUGUAAUUGUCUCGUGUAUUUAUGAACAUUUUUAAUCUUAACUGCAGUUCGCUGGAUCUUAUAUUGGAAAGAAUAUGUUUCGAGGGUAGCCGAAGGCAGGCCAAAUAUGCUGUACACGCACUAGCGGCAGUAACAAAAGAGGAGGGGAUUAUGUCGCUCAUCUUUGAAACAAGAGAAAGUGAAAUUGAAACUUUUAUACAGAGAUUUUUAACUCUGUGUUUUCUUCCGAGGGUUAGUGUGUUGAUUGGGUGCUGCAGCUUAUAUUUGAUGAAUUGUCUGACCCAGGGAUUCAUUAGCUGGUAACAUCUCUUAUUCAUCCGAAGUUUGCAAAUUUACAUAAUGAGUUAUCUUAGGAAUUUGUGCCCUAGUUGAAGAAGUUAUGGUUUGAGUUGUGAAAAUUAUAUGAGCUUUGUGAUAACAGAUAAGGUGUUUGACAGAAUUCCUAAAAGAAAUAAUGUUUUAUUGAGUUGUUUAUUUGUUCUGACCGAUUUUGUAGUUGUUCUUAAAAUACAUAUGGCUAGUGUCUGCUAAUUGUUUGAUUUAAUGUCACAUCAUUAUAUAUAUAGCCAUGUAAUAGAGGCCAAUUUAGGUUAGCAAAGGAUUAGUUCUUUGUCAUUGCUCUGUCUAUUCCUACGAUUAUGCUAGAACCCGUCUUGCAAAUGAUGUAAAGACUGCAAAGAAGGAUGGAGAGAGGCAGUUCAAUGGAUUGGUUGAUGCUCCUUAAGUGAGCUUGUUCCCUUUGUGGGUUGUGCUUUUUCAUGGGUUGUAAGGUUCCUCAUUAUAAACUAGUAUCUUCUUUCCAUUUUCCAGUCCAGUUGAUAAGGCCCAUAUGAAGCUUGCUGGAGCAAAGUCUAUUCUUCGAUUAUCUAGAUAUUGGGAUCAAAAAGAUUCCCGUUGAUCUCUUCUACUCUACCCUAAGAAUUUUCGAGGUUAAGUCUUUAGCAUUUGAACUUAAAUAUAAAUAUAUAAAAUGAUAAUAUAUAUUUUUAAUAUAUAUACACCAGCAACUAGCCGUUGGAAUAGAUGAAGUGCCACGUCCUCUGCCAGCUCAGAUUUCCGUCCAAUCAUUUUAUUGCUAAUUAAUGGAGUGAUAUUUUUUCUUAAAUAAAUGUUUUAAAUGAUAUACUUUUUUUUUUGUGUGGUCUAAUUGAGAUUUCGGAGUGAAUUGGGUGGUUUAAUUGAUAUAAAACCCAUAUAUAAAAUGAUAAUAUAUAUUGUACUUUUUUAAUAUUCACUUGUGUUCUCCUUGCACGUUGUUGCAUACCUUAUUAUUGAAAUAUUACAAAUAGAUUAUGUUUUGAUCCUUUUGCUUGACACAUGUAGGUUGAUUUUCCUCAAGUUGAAAAACAAUUUCUGAGAAAUGUUCACCCAUACAUUAGGGAUCGCCUUUUGGACCCCAAAUAUGCUUGUGCAUUCUUAUCUAAUGAAAUCUAACAAUCUUUCUGCAACCAGAAUCAAUGUGUAUUUUGUAUCACUAACUGCUAGUCUUGCUUAGUGAUGAUUAUAUACAAUGACUGAAUAUAAAGUUUGUCAUGCCAGCUGGAGAGUAAUGGAAUGCCAGCUGGAGAGAGUGGUGGAAUAUGGCAUGGAUCACAUGUAUUGCAGCAUACUAAAGCUUAACCUGGAUAUUUUAUGGUAAACAAUAUUUACCCAAUACUACAAUAAUUCACAAUAAAAAUAUAAUCUAUAAAAAUAUAAAGAAUAGAUUUAUUAUAUAAUUUGUAAUGUGAAAAGGUUUUGAGUAAUUAGGUUGACAAAAUGAAAAUAGAAGAGACGAGACGAAGAAGAAAAAGAAGUUGUUGGGUCUCAGCCCGCAAGAGUGAGGAAGACUAGCGUAGCCCAGUAAGCAAGCACGGGCAGGUCACGUGGUAUAAUUAUAGCGGAGAAGCUACGGCUAAAAGGGUUUGAAAUUCAGAGCGGAGAAAAGGGGGAGGGUUUCUACUAUUAGACUAUCAAAUAACGAUGGCAUUCACAAGGGAGUAAUUGAGCGCGUAUAUAAGAACAGGAGGGCAAAGAUGAGUCCUGACAUCAAAUAUUUACUGUGAAGAGUUGAUAACCUUGACUGAUAGCACUUGUCCCGGUUUUUCUCCAUCUCCUAUAGCAAGCAUAACAUUUGGAAGAAAUUCCUUAAUUGUUGCUCAUAUAGAAGUCAACAAGUUUUUGAGGGUAAUCAUUAUCCAUUUCCUGAGAAAGCGGAAAGAAUAAUGAUUACCUUCAAAACUUAUUGAUUCUAUAUGGGCAGCAGUUAUGAAAUUUCUUCGAGAUUUUAUGCCUGCUGCAGCAGAUGGAGAACAACAACCGGGACAAGUAUUAUCAGUCAACGUUAUUAACUCUUCUUCUACCCAACUCGAGUCAUUUGAACUUGGUACUGUUGUUUCGCCACUGUUUGAUCAUGGCACUGAACAAGGCGAGCAAGUUCUGGAGAUACAAAAGUGCGCCACAAAUACUCAUUCAUAUGAAGAAAUUUCCACAACUGCAGCGUCUAAAAGGACACCCGAAGGUGUCGAGCAGAUAAUUUCUUGUAUGUCCUUGAACCUAUUUGUUCUUAUGGACAUUUUCAACUAUAUUUUGUUCUUUACUUUGGUGAUUAUUCAUUGAUCUGUUUAUUUGGUUCCUUGACAGUGGAUGAAAUCGCCUAUUAAUUGUAAUGAACCUCAGUCUCUCACAUCCAAGCAGCUGAGGAGAUCUGAAGUAAUAGUUGGAGAUGAGGGGUAUACCGUCCUUUCUGAGAAAGGUAAAUUACCAUUCUUUUAGGGAAUGAAUAUGAUAACAGUUCUCUUAACAUUCAAUAUCCUCAAAAUUUAUAAGUACAUGAAUGUCGUAUAACUAUUUGUAUUGGUGGCCUAUGAAAUUUUAAGUGUAUAUACAUAAAAAUUAUAUAUCAUGAUUAUCUUAGCUACUUUACCCCCGCAUGUUCAAAUCUUUAGCUAUCCCUGUGCAUAGUUAGUUUAGUAUAUUAAUAUUCAGUAAUUUAGUAUGCUGCGAGGUAUGAAGACGUGGGACAUGCUAUGAUUACUGCAUCUCAGCCUUCCAGUUUGCAAACCAUGAAAUCAUUACCCCAACAAGUCAAUAUGAAAAAAAUGGUAUUAGAAAAUGAAGGAGAUAUAUCGUCUCAACUUCCCAGCAAUUUGCAACGGUGUGAGGAUGGCACUGAACAAGAGGAACAAGUUUUGGAGAUGCAAAAGAGUACCCCAAUCAUUAACUCACAUAAAGGUAUUGCCAAAGGCGAAACGUCAAGUUAUACACCCGACAAUAUCCUGAGGACAUUCAUUGUUGGUCUUUCUACCUAUAUGUUUUGUGCAAGGAAUGAGGACCCUCGGCAUAUUAAGUUUAAAUAUACACGUAGAAAGAAACAUAAUCAGGAGUAAGCAGGGGUAAAUAAGGGGAAAUAUAGGGAAGAGAGGGUAAAGAAGUCUUUUGAUGUUUGGGAGUAUAAAAUAGAAUGAAGAAAAGGGUUAGGGUUAUCUAUCUGGAAAAUGUGUUAAGUCAGUAGUAGUAUCAGGAGAGACCGCGCCUCUCGAAUUGCUGCGGGGUUGUAUAAGAUCUACUGUUUAGUAAUCGUUUAUUUCCCUGCUAUUAUAUAUAUCACAUCUGUUCUGGUCGUUUACUUGUCAACUAUAGUAGUCUAUUGUAGCAAAUUGGUAUCAGAGCGAGGUUGACGAUUAUGGGUGCUCCUCCUAGUAAUCAGUACAGGAUUGAAGUGCUCGAACAAGGGUUGGGGGACCUCCGCGCCACAAUGGCCGAACAGAUCGCUAUAGCGGUUCGAACGGCAACCCAGGAGAUGCAGCAGAGUUUGGUUUCUCUGCUUACGACCUCUCUCGAUCAAUCAACUCAACGAUUGGAAGAGAGGGUGGUGCGUUCCCGUGAAAAGCAAGAGGGUUUUAUGUUACGGAUGAAAGAGGAGCAAGAAAGGUUUCAGGAAGAGAUUCGAUCCACGUUGACAUCGUUAAAGGGAACAGGGGUUGUCCUCGGUGAAGGGGCAAACUCCACUCCUGAAUUUGGGUCUGGCCAGGGGCAGCCAUAUGGGGUUGAUGAUGAUGGUGGCGGUCCUCGUUCGGUGGUUUUCGGAUCUGGACCGGGUCGCGGGUCUGGUCGGGGACACAAUGGACCGGGUCGAGGCAGUUCGGAUUUUGGGGGUCAUGCUCAAUAUGGGUAUUCUGGUGGGUCUCAUUGGAGGGCAAAGAAAUUGGACUUGCCGAAUUUUACAGGUGAAAACCCAGAUGGGUGGAUUAUGCGAGCUGAACGUUUUUUCACGUUUUAUCGGUUAACGGAGGAAGAAAAAUUAGAGGCAGCAAUUGUGGCACAGGAUGGUGAUGCUUUAUUGUGGUUCCAAUGGGAAAAUGGUCGUCGUCCUAUUCGUUGUUGGGGAGAGCUCAAACGCCUCUUACUUCAUCAGUUCCGACCGUCUUCAACCGGGAGUUUGCAUGAACAAUGGCUGAGUCAUACACAGAAGGGGACUGUUGUUGAGUAUCGUCGGGGUUUUAUAGAACUGAUGGCUCCGUUGAUUGGGGUUCCGGAGGAGAUAGCGAAGGGGCAGUACAUCAACGGGUUGCAGGAUGAUAUUAAAGCGGAAUUACGCCUUCUGGGUCCUAGUAGUUUAGAUCAUGCAAUGGAGUUGUCAGUGAAAAUAGAAGAGAAAAAUCGAUGCUCUCUGGAGGUGCGCAAUAAGGGCAAAGGAAUGCAGUUUUCUACUGGCCGAGGUACAGGUACAUGUAGUCCCUUAUCUUAUUCUUCAAGUGGUCAUAGUCAGUACACUGCACCCUCAUUUGCGGGAGAUCACAAGUCAGUGGGGGGAUCGUAUAUAGGGACUAAAUCAACAAUUUCAGGGUCUACAUUGAGUUCAAAAGGGUCUAGUGUACCAGUGGCUAAACCUGUAGGUGAAGUGCGUAAGUUGAGCGAUAAGGAAUGGCAGAGCAGACGUGAAAAGGGCCUAUGUUUUAGGUGUGAUGACAAGUGGCAUGUCGGCCAUCGGUGUAACAAGAAAGAAUUAAGUGUGUUGUUGUCCCACAGUGAGGAGGAUGAUGAUUUCAGCCCGGAAUUAAGUCCUGUAGGGGAAGGCGAGCAGGAUCUCGGGAACUUGCAGUUUCAGCCAGAAGUGUCCCUGAAUUCUGUCAUGGGUUUAACUACACCCAAAACCAUUAAGAUGAUGGGUUAUAUUAGGGGAGCACAGGUCAUAGUAAUGAUCGACCCGGGUGCAACCCAUAAUUUCGUAUCGUUAGAUACUGUACAAAAGCUUCGCUUGCCGAUGACAAAGACAAAGGGGUUUGGCGUGUCACUGGGUACAGGAGAAUCGGUAAAUGGAAGCGGCAUUUGUCAGCAGGUGGCUGUAUGGAUACAGGGAAUUCAGGUGGUCGAGGAUUUCUUACCAUUGCAAUUAGGGAAUUCUGAUUUAAUAUUGGGUAUUGAAUGGUUAGAAAAGUUAGGCACCAUGAGUGCUAACUGGAAAACACAAACACUGUGUUUCCAGGUUCAGGGGAAGCCAGUAACUAUCACAGGUGAUCCAAGCCUCGGGAAAUCGCUCAUCUCUUUGAAAGCCAUGAUAAGGGCGUUACGUAAAGGCGACACAGGGUACUUGGUUGAAUUAAACUGUUUGGACAGUGAACAAGAACAGAUUGAGCAGUGUAGUACAACAAAACAAGUUCCCAAAUGGGUUGAGAGCAUCCUCCAGCAGUUUCAAGAGGUGUUUAAUAUGCCACAGGGCCUUCCUCCUCAUCGGACAUAUGCUCACGCCAUUGCUUUGCAGCCAGGGACAACCCCUGUAUCAGUUCGACCUUAUCGUUAUCCGCAAGUUCAAAAAACGGAGAUAGAAAACAUGAUCAGGGAUAUGUUGAAAGCCCAAAUAAUACAAGUGUCCAGAAGCCCUUUCUCCAGCCCCGUUAUCCUCGUGAAAAAGAAAGAUUCUUCGUGGCGAUUUUGUGUAGAUUACAGAGCCCUUAACAAAGUGACUAUACCGGAUAAAUAUCCUAUACCCGUGAUAGACGAGCUGCUGGAUGAAUUGCACGGGGCAAGCAUUUUUUCGAAAUUAGACCUGAAAUCAGGCUACCAUCAAAUUCGCAUGAAAGAAGAAGACAUUCACAAGACAGCCUUCCGGACUCACGAAGGCCAUUAUGAGUUUUGUGUGCUUCCGUUUGGACUCAUGAAUGGGCCUGCAACUUUCCAAGCUCUCAUGAAUGAAGUGUUUAAGCCCUAUCUACGCAAGUUCGUCCUCGUGUUCUUUGACGACAUUCUUGUUUAUAGCCCUGACAUGGAGACGCAUAAAGAACAGCAGACAGUGGUGUUACAAACAUUGAAGCAACACCAACUGUAUGCCAACUUAAAGAAAUGUGAGUUUGGACAAGCGAAGAUUGCAUACUUGGGUCACGUGAUUUCAUCACAGGGAGUGGCUGUAGAUGAGGAGAAAAUCAAGGCCAUGACUGAUUGGCCACUUCCGAAAAAUGUCAAGGAAUUACGUGGAUUUCUGGGUUUAACCGGUUAUUACCGAAAAUUUAUUCAAGGAUAUGCGAAGACAGCAUUACCCCUGACAGAUCAGUUAAGGAAGGAGAAGUUUGGGUGGUCACCGGACGCUACUGCCGCGUUUAACAAACUCAAACAACUGUUGUCGUCUACACCUGUUUUGGCACUACCUAAUUUUGAGCUUCCCUUUGUGAUCGAGACAGACGCGUCUGGGUACGGUUUAGGAGCAGUUCUUUCUCAGCAAGGUCAUCCAAUAGCAUUUUACAGCAGUGUUUUGGGUGCCCGAGCUCGGUUAAAAUCAAUUUAUGAGAAAGAGCUAAUGGCAAUGGUUUUAGCGGUGUUAAAGUGGAGACAUUAUGUGCUGGGAAGAAAAUUUACAAUAAAAACAGAUCAGCAAAGUCUCAAAUUUUUGCUGGAACGAGAGGUGGGUUCGGAAUACCAGAAAUGGGUGAGUAAACUCAUGGGGUUCACUUUUGACAUCGUGUAUCAGCCUGGGCCGAAGAACACUGUUGCUGAUGCUUUGUCCAGAAAAACCCCUACACAGAUAGAACUCGCGGUGUUGGUGACCAGUCAUGGGGCAGAAUGGGGUUCCAUCCAUCAACAGGUCUCAACUGACCCAUACAUUGUUAAAUUGAAGGCUGAAAUUGAGAAAGGUGGCUCCACUGCCCAGGGAUUUGCUAUUGAGCAUGGGAAAGUAACUUAUAAAGGGCGUUUUGUGAUUCCAAAGCACUGCCCUUUGAUCACUACCAUUCUGCAGGAGUAUCACAACUCGGUUGUCGGUGGGCAUGCUGGUGAAAUGAAAACAUAUCAACGCAUAGCUAAAGAGUGGUUCUGGCUCGGAAUGCGCAGGGAUAUAGCCACCUAUGUGCAACAUUGUGUUGUUUGUCAGCAAUGUAAAACAUCGAAUCUCAAACCAGCAGGCCUCCUUCAACCAUUACCUGUUCCUACGAAAGUAUGGGACGAGAUUUCACUGGAUUUCGUUGAAGGGUUGCCACGUUCCGGGGGUUACGAUACUGUUCUGGUAGUAGUGGAUCGCUUCACUAAGUAUGCUCACUUUUUGGGAAUUAAGCACCUUUUCACUGCUCCGUCUAUAGCAGCUGUUUUUGUAAAGGAAAUUGUCCGGUUGCAUGGAUUCCCAUCAGUUAUAGUUUCAGAUCGGGAUCGGGUUUUUAUGAGUGUUUUUUGGAAAGAGAUAUUCCGCUUACAAGGGACAAAAUUGCACCGCAGUACAGCCUACCACCCCCAGUCUGAUGGACAGACAGAAGUGGUAAACAAAGUACUUGAAACGUAUUUGAGAUGUUUUGUCAACGGACAACCCCGUAGGUGGGCAAAUUGGCUGGCUUGGGCUGAAUAUAGUUAUAAUACAGCAGUACAUUCUUCUACAGGGUAUUCCCCGUUUCAGGCACUGUAUGGGAGAGAGCCACUACCAUUGAUUAAGGGAAGCGCAAGUAGCACGAGUGUAAAUAGCAUUGAAGAACAAUUGGUUGACCGUGAUGCUAUGCUAGAUGAACUCAGGUUUAAUAUGCUGCGUGCCCAGCAACGUAUGAAAGUUCAGGAAGACAAACACCGCCGUGAGGUUGAGUUCGCAGUAGGAGAUCAUGUAUACUUGAAGUUGCAACCAUAUCGCCAGCAGUCUUUGGCAAAGCGUGCGUGGGAAAAAUUAUCUGCUCGUUAUUAUGGGCCGUUUGAGGUGCUUCAGAGAGUUGGUAGUGUGGCUUAUCGUUUGCAGCUACCAGAUGCAUCCAAGAUCCAUCCUGUAUUCCAUGUGUCUCAACUGAAACGUGCUAUUGGGGAGGCCCCGGUGGUUCCUACGAUUCCCAGUAGCAUUAAUGCUGAUUUAGUGUGUAUGGCAGAACCUGAGGCUGUUUUGGGUGUACGUAACAGGGGGUCGACAAAUGUGGAGGUUUUAGUAAAGUGGCAAGGGAUGGAGAGUUUUGAAGCUACUUGGGAGGACUUCACUGCUUUGACACAGCGGUUUCCUACAUUACACCUUGAGGACAAGGUGGCUCUUUGGGAGGAGGGUAUUGCAAGGAAUGAGGACCCUCGGCAUAUUAAGUUUAAAUAUACACGUAGAAAGAAACAUAAUCAUGAGUAAGCAGGGGUAAAUAAGGGGAAAUAUAGGGAAGAGAGGGUAAAGAAGUCUUUUGAUGUUUGGGAGUAUAAAAUAGAAUGAAGAAAAGGGUUAGGGUUAUCUAUCUGGAAAUUGUGUUAAGUCAGUAGUAGUAUCAGGAGAGACCGCGCCUCUCGAAUUGCUGCGGGGUUGUAUAAGAUCUACUGUUUAGUAAUCGUUUAUUUCCCUGCUAUUAUAUAUAUCACAUCUGUUCUGGUCGUUUACUUGUCAACUAUAGUAGUCUAUUGUAGCAUUUUGCUCGAUAUUUCAUAUCAUGCCUGUGUUCCUUUAAUGGUCAAAUAUCUGCUUGGUUGCUUUGCAGUGGAUAAGUUGCAAUAAGCGCCACCUACCAUUAGCAAAGAGAGUCUUAGCCUUACAUUUACAAGAAGCGCUAACAUUUACAAGAUUUUUCCUUAGUGCUCUAAGUUGAUCUUCUUCUCUAAUGUUCUUGUCCUUAGUGUUCUAAGUUGAUCUUCUUCUCUAAUGUUCUAAUGUUCUUGAUUCUUGAAAACGAAAAUAUAAUGCUUGUUUAUAUAUUCAAGCUUAUAGCAAUUUUUUACUCAAGAAAUAUGGAACUAUUAUUUUUAUCAUCUUCCCGCCCAUUACCCUCGCCGACAAACUCUCCGACCUCUCCCUAUUCUCACACUCAGCCGCCAAGUCCCACCUAGGCUCCUCAUCUGGUUGCGUCUUUUCGUUCUUUUGUUUGUGAUUUGCAUUGAGUCACCUUCGAGUCAUGCCGAGUAGCUGAGCUACGUUUGAUUCUGCUGGAGUUUGCUUUGAUUUCUUGAGAUUUGUUUGUUGUGUUUUGCUGUGACACCGAGAGUGGCUAAUUUCUUGUGUGUUUUGUCCGAGUCCAAGUUGCAGGUUCAAGUCUUGUUCUUCUUUUUAAUUGAGUUGUAGUAGAAGAGUUUGUUUGAAGAAUAAGUGGCUGGGAUAGUUAAUUUUAGUAGUUUGUUUCGAAGUUGCAUAACUGAGUCGCGAGUCUGAGUAUUGCUAGCCUAGAUUUCUGUUCGUAGUUAAGGAAUAAUUUUGAGUUGAUUUUGAGUUGAUUUUUAGGUGGUUGUAUUAGUUGUUUUUUAGGUUGUAAUGUUUGGCCCCGUGGGAGUUAUUUUUUGGUCUUGUAAACGGUUGCAACCUAUUAUGCAAACGAAUAUAAUUUUCAAUUUUUUUUUUAAAAUAGCAUUUCUGGUUGUAUGUGGUUGCUGGCAGUUGCAGAUGUGGUUGCAUAUGCAACCACCGUAUCUUUGGAAAUAUUAUCAGGAAUAUAGUAUUUUUGCAAUUUGUUUUAAAAAGUGAUAGUAUUUUCGCAAAAAUUCUUUCAAACUUGAUUAUAUAAAAAAAGCUCUUGAAAAUCCAUAUCCAUAUAUCCUUAAUGGGUGCUAGUGAAGCCCCCAAAAAUACUCCUAAAUUUACCCAUUUUUUUUGCCUGCUCCACCGACCCGAAACCCGUUAACCCAUCUGCCCAUGUCAGUUUGUUCCUUAAUGUCUGCAUCUUAAUUCAAAUUUCGAAUCAUGGAGAUUAACCUUAAUGCAUCGUACUGUCAAAACCAUCUUCAAGCGUUUGGAUCAUUUCUGUGAUCUUCUACCGUCACAUACACAUCUUCUUCUUCAGCCAGUCAUGGAAACUGACGGCAAUGAUGCCGCAUCACCGGGUUUAGGUAUUUGUUGAUUGUUGUAUGCAUCCCUUAUACACAGUUUGUUAAAAAUUCUUCAAUCUCAAUUUCCAGAUUAUCCAAGAUCAGUCGUUGUCGUGCUUGCCAAGACAGGCUACACUAGAUGAGCGGCUGUGUUCGUUUUUGCGUAGCCAUCAAUGGAAAAACGACCUCUCCACCACGUAAUCCUCCCCCGUCGACAAGUAGGUAAAACUAUACCCAUAUAUACGCUUCAUCUUGCCUGCGUUGUAUGAUUCUAUAUAUGUCAAUUGUGUAUAAAAUCAAAGAAUCAACUUUUUAUUGUAUUAUUUAUGACUUUGAUAUAUAACCCAUUAAGUGUUUGAUGUAUUGCCACAAAGACUUGAUUAUAGUUUUGUUUCUCCAUUUUUCUUAUCCAUAUUCUAAUAUUUGCUCUCUGCUCUCUCUAUACUCUGAAUAUAGGAAUCCCGUGUCAAUGAGGAGAAUAGGAAGCAGCCAUUUAACACACAAAACUCUUUCUAUUUAACACACAAAAUCGGGCUUCAAAAAUAAAAAUACAACAAAAGUAUGCAAAAUGGAGCCCUGAUUUUUAAUCCAUGUGUUUAUUUGUGUCUUAGCUACUUCAUGUGUUCUCCAUUGCUACUUCACAGGCUGUUUCAAAUUUGGUCGCAAUACUAUAGGUAUCUUAUGCCAUCAUAGAGAAGGCUACGUCGUGUUAAUCUGUAUGAUCUGGUGUGAAUAUAAUGUAUGAUAUAGGGUGUUAUUUGUGCAGACUAUAUAUGUGGUGUUUUCUCAAAGUCUAGGUCCAAGUCCUCAUGUAUCAGUUUAAGGGCUUAUAAAUAGGACAUCAGCACACACUGCUAAAAACCCACUGUUCUAAUUACCAGCUUCCAAAAAAUUCCUAUGGUAAGUUGAAAACGUUGCAGAAUUUUUUGAAGCUGCAGAGUGCAAGGGAACCAAUGUCACAUAUGUGUUGUUUGUGUCCUUUUAGGUCCGGGUGUUAACAAUUUCAUAAACAAUCUGCAGACCACUCCUGAUCAUCUCAGUGGCUUCGCACCAGGUAAUCCUUGCGCAUUUUAGAGCAUUUAGUUAUGUUAUUGAAUGUUUGCAGGCAUUUUAGAUUUGCAAAUAUGUGCAGGUCUGAUGUUCUUGAGGCACUUGCCUCAGUGGUGCCACCAUAAUCAUAUUUACACGGUGCUUCCGUCGAAAAAUUGAUAUAAUUAUUAAUGAACUUCAUGAAGUCUUAUUUCUUCAGCGACCCUAACGUGGUGCUAAUCUUACGUGGUUUGAGAAAGUUAGAGCAACACAAAAUAUCUAGCAUGCGGUAAGAAGAAUAUCUUGCUACAAAUAAUUUUGAUGACACAGCUUUAUGAAGCGCAGUCUUCAGUAUCUAGAGACACCUGCCAUCUUAUAACUAUUUGCAGUUUGAAUAAAAUUAGUAUUGUCAUGUGGUAAGCAAUGCUGUAACAUGUGUGUUAUAACGGCAGACCAUCUAUUUUUGCAGUCCGAGGUGUUAACAGGAAUUCAUUAAACUCAUGUCCUUGAUGGUGCCUCUAUUUCAAUAUGUCCAUAUCUAUGUCUAGCAAUAUAAUAUGGAGAUAAACUGGGAAUUAGUUGCCAUGUAUGGAAUCCUCUUAAUAACUCUAUGAAUUCAUGUACUUAUUUAUAAUCUUAUUUUCUAAAUAUUAUUAUCUGUACCUUCUCAAGCCAUUGACUACAUGUUUUUUACUUUUUUUAAAAGAUCUCUUUGAAAUUUAUUUCUUAUAAACACCUUAAUAUUUUACGCAGAAGGUUUGAUUUGCAUCUUUUGCUUCAGGUGUCGUUUUUCAGAACCUCAUACUGUUUCCUGGCUCCAUUCAGGAAGGCUGUAGUAGUUUAGUAGAAUGCGAAUUGUUGUGUUUGUUUUGCUUAGUGGUAGUAUCUUCUUUUGCAAUGUACUAGCUAUAUAAACAUGACUUGAACUUUCUGUGAACAUAUCCCAGCAUUCUGCAGCCAAUAUCUCUGCAAGUAAAGAUACACAACAAAAGCGCCGAGGUCGUGGACCGGGUGUUAACAAUGUGAUAAACAGUUUAAAUACUACAAAAGACCAUUCCAGUGGCUGCACACCAGGUAAAUUUUUGAUAUUUUGCAAGCAGAUGGUUAUGUGAUCUGAUACUUGAAUAAACAUUUAUAGCUUCUACAAUGUAAUGUAUGUAAUUAUAAAUAUGUGCAGCCUGUAUUCCUUAACGUCUUUCAAUGUGUUUUUAAUCUGAAUGAUGUUAAAUAGGACAAAAACUUGACGCUAACAUAUCACUGCAACUUCCACACGAUAAUCCUCACAAUAAAGGUUUACCUCAAAAGCGUCACAAUAAAGGUAUCUUUUCCUAGGAGUGCACAGUAUUCCAAACAGUGUUUCGCCCAUUUUAACUGGUGUGUUUAUUGCUUAUAUCUUUUGUAAUGAACAUCAUAUAUAUGUUCUAUUGUUCCAGAAUUUAUUUUGGUUUUUGGAGAUCUUAUCAAUGGUUGUAAUCAUUCAAGACAUAAUUAUUGGGUUCUUAUUCGGUUGUCACAAUUAUUUGGUUUUUGUUGUUCUUACCAAUGGUUCUAAUCGUUCAAGAUUGGGAUCGAUUAAUCCUGUCAACAGUAGACUUAAUUUUCAUCUUACCAAUGGAUACGAAGAAUAUAGUCUNNNNNNNNNNNNNNNNNNNNNNNNNNNNNNNNNNNNNNNNNNNNNNNNNNNNNNNNNNNNNNNNNNNNNNNNNNNNNNNNNNNNNNNNNNNNNNNNNNNNNNNNNNNNNNNNNNNNNNNNNNNNNNNNNNNNNNNNNNNNNNNNNNNNNNNNNNNNNNNNNNNNNNNNNNNNNNNNNNNNNNNNNNNNNNNNNNNNNNNNNNNNNNNNNNNNNNNNNNNNNNNNNNNNNNNNNNNNNNNNNNNNNNNNNNNNNNNNNNNNNNNNNNNNNNNNNNNNNNNNNNNNNNNNNNNNNNNNNNNNNNNNNNNNNNNNNNNNNNNNNNNNNNNNNNNNNNNNNNNNNNNNNNNNNNNNNNNNNNNNNNNNNNNNNCAAGCCAAUGUUAUGGAUGUUUCUGGAGAAGUUGGAUCUCAGUUCAGUCAGGCAACAAUAAGUUCACGUAUUGGUCAUCCAGGUCGUUCUCAUCAUUCAAAUUAAGGACAUGGGAGCUCUACAAACAGUCUCUUAAAGUUUGAACUUCCUGCAUAAAAAAUCACUCCUUCCAACCAUUAAAAUACAGGUUCCAAUCUAUUUUAGUUGAGUUCAGCAUACAUCACGUAUGGAUGACAUACAAUUUUUAUAGUUGCACAGUAUAUUUCAGUAGUGUACAAAAUAAUCACGUUUACCGACAUAUGGUUUUUGUAGUUAUUGAUAGUAGUGUACAUGCAUCGGAGAAGCAUGUAUACAGACAUCGACUACGUCCAACAAGUCCUACAGUUAUUGGUAGUACAGGCAUUGGAAUCAGGAUUCUAAUCCUUAUGGUCUUCAGUUUCAGGUUAUUCUAGGCCGGAAGUGAACUCCAGUUAGGUUGUUCUCUGCUUUUGCAAUGGAAAAUGGUAGUAUUAUCUUGAAUAUAUUAUCGGGUAUAUAUCAAUAUAUGUGUCUCUUGAAAUUUAGAACUACAUAUUGAUUUCAAUUUUGUGCGUAGAUCCUAAGCACAGAAUACACACUUGAGCAUGCACACAUAAACAAGUUAAGUCGAGAAGCAUGACAAUAUUUUGUUUGAUAUGACUACCAAAAAGAACUGAAUGAUUUUCCAAAAGUUAUAUAAGAACUUGCACAAGAGCUGUGGGACUUGCUAUGUGAUAAUCUUGACUUAAAAAAGCUUUCUAUAUCUAGCGCACGCAGAUUCAGGCAGGAUCGUCCGACAAUUCCAAGUUUACCAUGUUAGUGGCCUCUAGCUUCUCAAAAUGGCGAACGGAUCGAUGUUCUGCUUAUGCUCCACUUCGUUGUAUUAACUUAGGUGACCAACUCACCACCAUCUCCACUUUGCUACAAUUUUAUACGAUGCACGUAGGUACGUUCAAGAUCAAAAGGCUCGAAAUUGAUAUCAAGUCGAAGGAUGAGAUCUAUUGCAAUUCUCUCUAAUCAGUAUAGUGGCUUGAUGAUUCAUAUGUUGGGUAAGUUUUUUCAUUUUUUAAGUCAAUCUUCUUUUUUCAGAACGAUGUUUGUUUUGGCUGUUCUAGCAACAUGAUUUCAUGUUCCUAUAUAAAUGACGUACACACAACAAACUUUAUUGUGAAUGGAGUAACAAAUGUUUAAUACAUAAUUACAAUCAUUUUAUGGUUAGGAUUAUGAUGCCUUGCAUAUAUAUAAACUUUAUAUGGUCUAUUUAUUGUAAUUCUAAAGAUGUUUUAAGUUAUCUGAUAGCUACGCUGUAAGUGUAGCCAGGGAAUUACGUAGAAUAUGGUUAUGUACUGUUGCCAUAGUACUUAUUAACUGCCAGGAUAUAUGUCAAAUCUGAUAUAGUUAUUCUUCGGUUGUAAAUUUAAUCUUUUAUAUUAUUUUCUCAUCAUCUCAUCCCAAAAGCUGUAGAGAAUAUCUGCUGAAGAUAUUCUUGGUGCUAAAUAUUUGUGGACAGACUAUUUGCUUUGCGAUCCCAAGAGGUGAUAUAAUGUGUAUGUAAGUAUGUUGAACUUUUCAGAAUUCAUGUGGACUUAUCAACAUUGCCUGUAUUUUAAUUUAAAAAGGAUCACAUAUGACCUUUCUUAGAGAAAUGAUAUGUUUUUUUUCCUCAGCCUACCUAAUUUGAGUAUUUCACAAUUCGAGACAAAGAAAUAAUGUCAGCAGAAGCAGGAACUUUUAUUGUUCUUUGUUGUAGUUGCUGGAAGAGAAGCAGGGAGCAAAUGUUUUGUGGUUUUUUCAAGCAAUAAAUAGGUAACUCAAAUAAAAAUAUAUGUUUGUGUACAUGUGUUCAAGCAAGUUUUUAUAUGUUUAAAUGACAUACUUUUUUAUACAUAAUGUAUUUGCAAUAAAAUGCAUGUACAUUUCUGUAUUAAAAUGUGUUAAAUUUCUCAAAUCCUGAAACUUUUUAUUCUUAAAUCUUGAAAAAUAUUUUAAUGAAAACUUAUAAUUGUGGACAAGUUUCUAUUUAGAUGUGCUAUUUAUAUUGCAGUUCAUGAUAUUCAGUCUAUCAUAGGUCAAGAUUUUGUACCUAAUAAUGUGGACAUGGGAAUGUACAAUGUGUUGCUGUCAGACAUGGAAAUGCAUCAAAUUAAUGUUGUUAAAAUGGUUGAUAUUGCUAAGGCCUGUCCAAGGCAGGCCUGUUGCUUAUACACAACCAAGAAUUUUGGGUGUGAGCUUGGAGCUCUGUCUAAAUAUGCCGAGAAAACUUCAAUUUUAUAUGAUAACGGAGCUCGUGAAUGCAAAACUUGAUGGCUUACUGGAACUUUAUUAAAAAAUAUGUCAGGAGAGGCUUUGGAUCAAUCGUGGAAGAAGCUGAAACAGAAAGGUAUAAUCAGAAAGGAAGCACUAAAGAUGUCUCAUUUAAAGCAGUUAGCAAGAAGAAAGUAAAUGUAUUUGAUGAGAAUACUACACUUCUUUUGCAAUAGUUCCACAGUGAGUGGCGGGAAGAUAUUCAGAAAGAAAGUACAGGUAAGUUCUGAUCUUUUGAAAAUAUUUCUAUCAAGCCUUGAGUACUCAAUGCACUGAGUUUGGAUAAAUCUUGAUCUUGAUUCAUAACAGAGUACUUUGCCCAGAUUUAAACCAUGACAUGGGACAUGGCGAGUCAGGAAGAUGAACUUAUGAAGCCUCUUGCAGUUAUCAACUUGAAGGUUAAGUUAUAUUCUCUAAUAUAUUAUACUGACUAAAAGAAUGCAGUAAUUUAUGGUUGAAGAGUGCAAUAAUUUAUGUCUGAAAAAUAUAAUUUUUUCCUCAAGUUUCUUAGACACAUAUAAUAGAAAUUUCAAAACUAUAUUAUCAUCCAACAACAUUAACAUAACUAUGUCAUCUGAUAUAGGUGUUCAAAUACUAUAGAGAUUCAAAUUGAAAGUAAAAUACUCUGGCAACUAAUUUUAGUUAUGACAGUUAAGUAGUAAGAUGAUUUUGUAUUAACAUAUCCUAUUUUCCAGUAAUUUUUGGUUGUUUAGUUAUAAGUGGAUUGCCAAGCUUAAUUGGUUAGAAUAUUUGUACUUUUUUAUUAAUAAAAUUUAUUACUGUUUAAAAUUAGGGCAUAGUAUAAAAUCUUGAGAAACCCCUUCAGCAUGUGUUUAGAUAAGAAAUAAAUUAUAGAGUGUAUUGUUUUGUUAAGUUGAAUUAUAAUUUUUUUAAGCAGGCUGCAUGGCUUUCUUAUGACAUGAGAAUGGUGUAGGACGCGUCAUCUUGGCUAUUAGACAAAUUCAAUGGUAUAACUCGAGGCAUGUUAGUACAUACUGCAAGAGUGUUAAUUCAGGGGUGGCGAUGAACUGGAACUCAAGAAAUGUUAAUACAAGGGUGGUGAUGAGUUGAAGCCCAAAUCUAACUCAGAAAUGGCAAAAGGCAAGAGCAAAGAUUUCGAAAAAACAUUUCGGGACACAACUCUGAUCCUCAAGUUAACAACCAAAGGUGGCAAGCACCUCCACAUGGCAAGCUCAGAAUAAAUGUUGACGCCUCCGUAUGCUAAAAGUCUUUUUAUUUUUUGGUUGUUAUGCUACUAAGAGAUAAAGAUGGAACAUUUCUGAGAGGAAAAAAUCAUACAGUUCAAAAGAGAACAAUCUCAGUGUUUGAAGCAAAAUAACAUUCAGGAUAAAUGAGGUAUUUUCUUAGAUUUCUUCUCUCCAAAAUAAGAAUGUAAUUGUCGAGACGGACUCCUUAUUGUCCAUUUGACCUGUGGCGUUAAAGUCUGUAAUCUGCAGGACGUGGGCAACGUAGUAGGUACCUGCAGGUUGGAACUUCAGAAUAUGAAUGAUAUCUAUAUUCAGUAUGUUAAGAAAAUAUGUCUGUUUGUGGAAAUGCUAUAAUGAAACAAGGUCCCUCUCCUUCAAUUGGUGGAGAUAUGAUUUUAGAUUCUCUGUUGGUUUAAAAAUUAUGAUCUGGGUGUUUAAAGUACUCAGAUUAUUUGUGACUUAUAAAAUUUAAGGUGCUGAUUUCCGUUCCUCCUCACAGCCAGCUUCAUUAGCUGAUUUAUUAAGAAGAGUAUAUUUUGACUCUUCUAUCUUGAUGGUAGUUAAGUUGAGAAAAUAUUAAAUUAUUAAGUUGAUAUUAUUAAGUUUUAUCAACGCUAUAGAUUGUGUUUAGUUUAAACAAAUAAAUGCAGUAUUUAAUACAGUUAAAAUAAAUUUUUUUUAAAGGAGAUCCAUUUUAAUGUGCUGGGAUAUUUUUUUUUUUUUUGAUAAUAAAUGUACUGGGAUUGGUAUGCGUGAAUUAACAAGAUUUUAGCACGCGUAGCGCGGUCAAAGUGUAAUAACUGUAAUUCGUAUAACUUUUAAUAUCUUAUUGUAUUGCAUUAUGUCCCUAAAUUUAUUACCGAGCGCAUGUUCUUUCCUAUAAGUACUGGGAAUUAACAAUAACGAUUUAGAAAACUAUCAAUUAUAAGUUUAAUUGUUAUUUAACAUUUUUCGGAAACAUAUACAAUAAUCAACAUAUUUUAGUUAAGCAUUAUGUUAUUGUCAGUUUAAAAAAAUAAUUGAAGCUCGCCAAGCGCUUGCUGUCAGUAGAUCCAACAUGGAUAUUAUCUAACAUAAAUUUUCAUUAAGUUUAACCAUAACCAAUAGUAAGAGUAGUAAUCAUUUAUUUCAUGGCUGAGCAUAUUUUAAUAAUGAUUAUAAUACUGAUGUAAUCAUUUAUAACCAAUAGUAAAAAUAGUAAUCAUAUUUGCUAAAAAUUUGGCAAAUGUGCAUUCUAUUUCUUCCAAAUUAUUAACUAAAAUCGAAGUAAAUGUUCUACUCAUAAUAAAAAUAAUUUUAAUGGGAAAAUAUACAUUUCGCAAAUGUAUUAAAUAUGCAAAUUUUGUAAAAUUUUCAGUUUUUGUACGGGAGCUCGCGUAGCGCGGGCAUAAUUCCCUAGUAUAUAUAAAAGUUUCCAUAUUUAAUCAAAGCAAGGUUUCUGAUUAGUUACAUUCAAUUCAAAGAUGUGGAACAUAUCUGACAAAAAAACAACGGAGAAUAAUAAGGGUGUAAUAUGACAACAUAUUAUUUAUUCAAAAUAUUAUUAUCUCAGGUGGAAAUAUAAUUAUCUUCGAAACCUUGUCGAAAACGUUAUCCCCGCCUACUUCAAACCGAUCCCCGAACCCGUCCUCAUCCCCAAACGGGGAUUCUUUUGCUCACCAAUCCCCGCCCCCAACAGGGAACAUAAAUCCCCACAAAGUUCGGGAAAUUCAAGUUUUUUAACAAUAUUAUAAUAUAUUUAAUAAUAUAAAAUUUAAUUUAAAAUUAUAUUAAUAAGUCAUUAUACAUAAUAUUUUUCUACUUUUAUAUAACAUUUUCAGUACUAAUUCAAAUUAAUACUUAUUUAUAAUAAAAGUAGAAGAUAAAAUUAGAUUUAUUAUAAUUAAUUUAUAUUAUAAUAUGAAAAUAUUUAAGUAAUUACAUGAUGAGGAUUAUUUAAAUUAUAUAUAAUAUAAUAUAUUUAUAAUUGAUCAUUAAUAUUAUAUUAAUAAAUAAAUAUAAUAUUUAUAUUAUAUUUUAAAAUAAGGAGUUUCGGAGUGGACCGAAAAGGAAAGACAUGAUCCCCGAAUUUUUAGUAAUUACCCCGAUCGUCGUCAGGUAAACGAAAAAAUCUCCUAUUCCUUAAUACGAAUGAGGCGGGAAUCGGAUCGAGGUCGAACAGGACAGCGAGAUUGUUAGUCACUACUUAUAAAUAAAUUUAUCAAAACACUUAAUUUAUUUAUUUAUUUAUUUUUAUGAAAAAACACUCAAUUUAUUAAUUAGUUAUUACUUAUAACUAACAUAUAAAAUAAAUGAGGUAUUUUUUUUUCAAUCGAAGCCAAACGGCACCGGAAUAAGAACAUUUUCUCCCCGUAUAAACUCGUGUGUUAUUUGGGUUUACACACAGUUUUCCGCCCUAAGAACCAAGCUGCUCUCCUUCAUCCCUCUUUUGCCUCUUGCCCUAUUAUAUGCUCUUCACUCACUUUUUCUAGGUAAUUUCAUACAUAAUUAUGCACACACACACAUAUGCUAAUAUAAUCUUAUAAUGCUGCGAUAAGCAUUGUUAAUCUCUCCAAGUUUGGAUUUUUUUGUUACCCAUUUGCUUAAACUGUCGUAUUUGGAUGUUUUUGUGGGUCUUGAUACUGUAAUAUAGCUUGAUAGUGGUGAUUUUGAAUACUGAUUAGCUGCUAGACCAGAAAAUUACAUUGUUUCUUGAUUUGACAAUUUGCAGUACUGAUUGUUUUGUUAAGUACAUUUAAAUAUAAUUUAGUGUUAUGAUUUGCAAAAGGGUACUUUUAAUAAAUAUAUUGAGAAACAUGUGCACGAAUAUGUGUUAAUAUUAUCAUAUAAAGCUAUGAGUAGGACUCGUUAAUCUCUCCAAGUUUCGAUUAAUUUAUUACCUAUUUGCUAAAAAAUUGUUUUUUAAUGUUAUUGUGGGUUCUUGAUGGUAUAUGAUAGCUUGAUAGUGGUGAUUUCGAUUACUGAUUAGCUACUGGAUUAGAAAAUUUGAUUGUUUGUUUCUUGAUUUUAUUUGAUAAUUUGCAGUACUACUUGUUGUGUUAAGUACAUAGAAGUUAAUGUUAUGAUUUGCAAAAGGGUACUUUUAGGAUAUAUAUUUUGUGAAACAUGGUCUAACUAGUGAAGAAAAUUUCAGUAGAUUCAAUAAAUGUGAUGUUUUGAGUAUAUGUUCAAUUGGAGGUCUAUGUGAUUUUUUGUGAUGCCCUUGAUAGAACUAGAUUUAGUUAUAUGGAGUAUUAGAGUUCAUGUGCAAUUGAAGGUCUGAAGAUUUGUGUUAUUGUUUUUGUAGUUUUGUUUAAGUUUUGAAUUCUUAUGCGGCUAUAAAGAAUAUUUUGUGUCUGGUUUACAUUAUGGAUUGCAUUUACUGCUUUAAUGAUUUCAAGGUAUUGUUUGUUGACCCAAGUUCGAGUGACUCAAUGACUUGUGUUGGUGUUUGUGAAAUUUUGUUUAAAUUGAAUAUUUAUGCAGAUGUUUAGUUUUGUUUGAACUCUAAUGUUUAUGCAGCUUUUAAGCUUAAUUCCAAUCCAGUCUGCAUGAUGGACUCUGUUCAAGUGUUCAUUAUUAACUAUUUUAUUGUAUUGUUUGACGACAUAAGUUUGAGUGACCUGGGAUGAACUUGGGGUUUUACUUGUGAGCUCUUAAUUUUCUUCCUAAUUAUGGAUUUUCUCUCCUUCACAUUACAUAUAUGUGUAUAUAUCUAAUACUUUAAAUCAUUUGUCUACCAAUCAGAGACCCAAGCUAAUGGAGUUGUCUGCACGAUGCCAAUCUUGCGGCGAACGGUCUCUGGUCACUGAUGAAGUUUCUGAAAAUUUAAUCUGCACAACAUGUGCUGUUGUUCAGGAUUACAACAAUUUUCAGGCCCAUGUUGGUGGUAUUAGUGGCCCGGCUGGCACAUAUGUCCGCACUGGCACAUCAGGCUCUGGCAAUAAUUAUUCGUAUAAAGAAAGCAAAAUAUAUAAAGCUGGGGUUCUUAUUGAUGAUAUUUUGUUCAAAUUGAAUUUUUCUGUUUCAUCGAUAGAUGAGGUUAAAAAAAUGAUUGUGACUAUUACUGAAGGUGAGUAUGGUCAAGGUGAUUGGUUUAGUAUAUUUGUUGGUGCGUGUGCUUAUGUUGUUCGGAGGAAAAAUGGGAACCUUCUGCCUAUGACGGAUGUGGCUGCUGUAGUCUGCUGUGAUACACUGAUACUUAUGAGUUAGGAAGAAUGGUUAAUCGAGUUGUUAGUUUUCUUGACUUGAAGUUGCCUGAAUUUGAUAUUGUUUAUUUGUAUGAAACUACACUUAGAAAUAGCCCGAGCUUUAGCUGCAUUGAAGCUGAGAAAAAGGAGGUGAUGUUAAAACAGGGGGUGUUUUUGGUGCAGUGUUUAAUAAAGUGGUUUGUGACAACGGGGAGAAGGCCAGUGCAGGUUGUAGUGUCAGUGUUGGUAUUUAUUGGACAGUUAAAUCAGUUAAAUGUUAAAAUUGAGGAUUUGGCUAGUGAAUUGAAUGUGCCUGCUGUCACUUGUCGAUUGAGGUACAAGGAGUUGUUAGAGAGGCUUGUGGAGGUUGCAAGAGUGUUGCCAUGGGGAAAAGAUGUUAAUAUAAAGAAUAUUGUGAAAUUUGCACCAUAUGUCAUUCAAUAUAUGGAAAUGAAGUCGAUGGGUAAUGGUCUAAAACAGAUAAAAAAUUCAGAUAAUGUGGGAUUUGACAUUGCUUAUUUUUUGAGUGAUUGUUUGCAGGAAAGAUCAGAUAACAUGAUUGAUUCAUAUAGGUCUUGUGAGGGGGAUGAUUUUUUUUCACACAAUACUGAGCAAGAACAAUCACCUAGUCUGGAUUAUGCUAAUCUGGAUAAGUUUAAUAUUUCACCUGAAUGCUUGAAAAUGAUUUAUUCCAAGUGCAUGGAAGAGGUUUCUGAUUUUCGUUCCACAUCGGAGUUUGGAAAGGAAAAUAGAAAGAGAAGGAAGAGACAUGACAACUACCUUGACUGUACAGACUGGUGGAAAGGCAAGUCAGAACUCAGCAAAAAACUCUCUCUCAAGAAGAUAUUGGAGAAAGAUGUAGGAAUGGAUGUGAUGCCUCCAGCAUUCGUUAAUGGAUGCUUGACAUACCAGAUGAGAAGAGAUAAGAUUGAGGCGGCUAAGGCACGCAUUAAAAACAUCAUGUUUCCAUCGAAUGCUGGUUUACAUGCUGGGUNUUGAAUUUUUCGGUUCCAUCUAUAGAUGAGGUUAAAAAAAUGAUUGUAACUAUUACUGAAGGUGAGUAUGGUCAAGGUGAUUGGUUUAGUAUAUUUGUUGGUGCGUGUGCUUAUGUUGUUCGGAGGAAAAAUGGGAACCUUCUGCCUAUGACGGAUGUGGCUGCUGUAGUCUGCUGUGAUACUUAUGAGUUAGGAAGAAUGGUUAAUCGAGUUGUUAGUUUUCUUGACUUGAAGUUGCCUGAAUUUGAUAUUGUUUAUUUGUAUGAAACUACACUUAGAAAUAGCCCGAGCUUUAGUUGCAUUGAAGCUGAGAAAAAGGAGGUGAUGUUAAAACAGGGGGUGUUUUUGGUGCAGUGUUUAAUAAAGUGGUUUGUGACAACAGGGAGAAGGCCGGUGCAGGUUGUAGUGUCAGUUUUGGCAUUUAUUGGACAGUUAAAUCAGGUAAAUGUUAAAAUUGAGGAUUUGGCUAGUGAAUUGAAUGUGCCUGCUGUCACUUGUAGAUUGAGGUAUAAGGAGUUGUUAGAGAGGCUUGUGGAGGUUGCAAGAGUGUUGCCAUGGGGAAAAGAUGUUAAUGUAAAGAAUAUUGUGAAAUUUGCACCAUAUGUCAUUCAAUAUAUGGAAAUGAAGUCGAUGGGUAAUGGUCUAAAACAGAUAAAAAAUUCAGAUAAUGUGGGAUUUGACAUUGCUUAUUUUUUGAGUGAUUGUUUGCAGGAAAGAUCAGAUAACAUGAUUGAUUCAUAUAGGUCUUGUGAGGGGGAUGAUUUUUUUUCACACAAUACUGAGCAAGAACAAUCACCUAGUCUGGAUUAUGCUAAUCUGGAUAAGUUUAAUAUUUCACCUGAAUGCUUGAAAAUGAUUUAUUCCAAGUGCAUGGAAGAGGUUUCUGAUUUUCGUUCCACAUCGGAGUUUGGAAAGGAAAAUAGAAAGAGAAGGAAGAGACAUGACAACUACCUUGACUGUACAGACUGGUGGAAAGGCAAGUCAGAACUCAGCAAAAAACUCUCUCUCAAGAAGAUAUUGGAGAAAGAUGUAGGAAUGGAUGUGAUGCCUCCAGCAUUCGUUAAUGGAUGCUUGACAUACCAGAUGAGAAGAGAUAAGAUUGAGGCGGCUAAGGCACGCAUUAAAAACAUCAUGUUUCCAUCGAAUGCUGGUUUACAUGCUGGGUACAGCCAUUGCCUUUCAACAACUGCUAAAAAGGAGAAGAAGAAAAAGAAACGACAUGUAGAUGUUGAUUGGGAAGAUCUUAUAAUUGAAACUCUUCUUCUGCAUCAGGUGAAGGAAGAAGAAAUAGAGAAGGGGUAUUACAAAACCUUGAUGGACUUGCAUGUUUUUAACUCAGGUUGUUUUGAAUGAUCUCAACUGUACGCAGGUAUAUUCAGCUGCAGUGAGACAUCCUGGAAGAGAUUAUGCUGGCGAUAGAUGGAUUCAUCUUUUAUUUGUAAUCGGAGAUUGAUACAUGAACAUGUUUUUUUUUGAUGAUGAGCAUUGAGUGAAAUUAUAAGAUAUAAAUAUAACCGGAGAUUGUGCUUAGACUAAUAUAAUAUAACUUAUCGUAGUAGUUUUAGCUCUCAAUCUGUUGAUCACUUGCCCGUAAUUAAGGUAACUGACAUUGUUGGUAGUACCAUUAGUAGAUCCAGGGAUCUUGAUUAUCUUAUUCUGUCAUGAUGCAAAGACUUUUAGUGGCAUGGAACCUCGUCUAUUACAGGUUGAUUGGCCUUGUUUGUCUUCCUGGCUUUUAUACCAAUCGAGCUAUUAUACCAUACAGAAAAUUUUAGUCUUUCCCACCAGUUAUUGUGAUUCCUUGUGUCAGAUUAUUUGCAAAGUCUAGACAUUGUUUAUAAGAAUGUUAUUUUCUGCAUUUCGGCAGAAUUGCUAUUAUGUUCCUCCCAUAGCUGCAGCUGCAAGGACUCCUGGUUAGACUCUCCCCUCCCUCCCUUCACAGGCUGGAAAUAUUUUUAUUCAUGGACCCUGAACAUUUUCUUAUGCGGAUCUUUGCCUGUAAAACUUUAGUUAAGAGCUACUUGCCUGUUAGAGAUGCCAGGUUCGUCAUGGAAUUGAUGAUCUACUCAUGCAUCUUAAUUCUUACGGUAAGUAUUGAGGAAUAAAAUAUAAGGGUAGUUUUGUCAUUGCGGUAAAAUCUAUAUUGGACUAUAUAUAAAGUCCCACAGGUUUCAUUUCAGCGGUAAGGUUAAUUCAUAAUGUAGCCGAUUAAUAAAUUCUUUCCGUUUUUCUUCGUCUCUGUUCUAUCUCUAACAUAUUGAUAAAUAAGUAUUAUGCUUGUCAACAGGUAUCAGAGCCUUCGGUUCUAACCCAAGAUUUUUAACUCUGUGUUUUCUUCCGAGGGUUAGUGUGUUGAUUGGGUGCUGCAGCUUAUAUAUUUGAUGAAUUGUCUGACCCAGGGAUUCAUUAGCUGGUAACAUCUCUUAUUCAUCCGAAGUUUGCAAAGUUACAUAAUGAGUUAUCUUAGGAAUUUGUGCCCUAGUUGAAGAAGUUAUGGUUUGAGUUGUGAAAAUUAUAUGAGCUUUGUGAUAACAGAUAAGGUGUUUGACAGAAUUCCUAAAAGAAAUAAUGUUUCAUUGAGUUGUUUAUUUGUUCUGACCGAUUUCGUAGUUGUUCUUAAAAUACAUAUGGCUAGUGUCUGCUAAGUGUUUGAUUUAAUGUCACAUCAUUAUAUAUAUAGCCAUGUAAUAGAGGCCAAUUUAGAUUAGCAAAGGAUUAGUUCUUUGUCAUUGCUCUGUCUAUUCCUUGGAUUAUGCUAGAACCCGUCUUGCAAAUGAUGUAAAGACUGCAAAGAAGGAUGGAAAGAGGCAGUUCAAUGGAUUGGUUGAUGCUCCUUAAGUGAGCUUGUUCCCUUUGUGGUUUGUGCUUUUUCAUGGGUUGUAAGGUUCCUCAUUAUAAACUAGUAUCUUCUUUCCAUUUUCAGGUCAGUUGAUAAGGCCCAUAUGAAGCUUGCUGGAGCAAAGUCUAUUCUUCGAUUAUCUAGAUAUUGGGAUCAAAAAGAUUCCCCUUGAUCUCUUCUACUCUACCCUAAGAAUUUCCGAGGUUAAGUCUUUAGCAUUUGAACUUAAAUAUAAAUAUAUAAAAUGAUAGUAUAUAUUGUACUUUUUUAAUAUUCACUUGUGUUCUCCUUGCACAUUGUUGCAUACCUUAUUAUUGAAAUAUUACAAAUAGAUUAUGUUUUGAUCCUUUUGCUUGACACAUGUAGGUUGAUUUUCCUCAAGUUGAAAAACUAUAUCUGAGAAGUGAGAAAUGUUCACCCAUACAUUAAGGAUCGCCUUUUGGACCCCAAAUAUGCUUGUGCAUUCUUAUCUAAUGAAAUCUAACAAUCUUUCUGCAACCAGAAUCAAUGUGUAUUUUGUAUCACUAACUGCUAGUCUUGCUUAGUGAUGAUUAUAUACAAUGACUGAAUAUAAAGUUUGUCAUGCCAGCUGGAGAGUAAUGGAAUGCCAGCUGGAGAGAGUGGUGGAAUAUGGCAUGGAUCACAUGUAUUGCAGCAUACUAAAGCUUAACCUGGAUAUUUUAUGGUAAACAAUAUUUACCCAAUACUACACAAUAAUUCACAAUAAAAAAUAUAAUCUAUAAAAAUAUAAAGAAUAGAUUUACUAUAUAAUUUGUAAUGUGAAAACGUUUUGAGUAAUUAGGUUGACAAAAUGAAAAUACAAGAGACGAGACGAAGAAGAAAAAGAAGUUGUUGGGCCUCAGCCCGGAAGAGUGAGGAAGACUAACCUAGCCCAGUAAGCAAGCACAGGCAGGUGACGUGGUAUAAUUAUAGCGGAGAAGCUAUGGCUAAAAGGGUUUGAAAUUCAGAGCAGAGAAAAGGGGGAGGGUUUGUACUAUUAGACUAUCAAAUAACGGUUGCAUUCACAAGGGAGUAAUUGAGUGCGUAUAUAAGAACAGGAGGGCAGAGAUGAGUCAUUACAUCAAAUAUUACUCUGAAGAGUUGAUAACCUUGACGGAUUGUACUUGUCCUAGUUUUUCUCCAUCUACAGCAAGCAUAACAUUUGGAAGAAAUUCCCUAAUUGUUGCUCAUAUAGAAGUCAACAAGUUUUGAGGGUAAUCAUUAUCCAUUUACUGAGAAGGCGGAAAGAAUAAUAAUUACCCUCAAAACUUGUUAGAAUUCUAUAUGGGCAACAAUUAUGAAAUUUCUUUGAGAUGUUAUGCUUGCUGCAGCAGAUGGAGAACAACUGGGACAAGCAGAUGUUGUUCUGGAGAUACAAAAGUGCGCCACAAAUAUUUAUUUAUAUGAAGAAAUUUCCAUAACCGCAACGUCUAAAAGGACACCCGAAGGUGUCGAGCAUAUAAUUUCUUGUAUGUCCUUGAACCUAUUUGUUCUUCUGGACAUUUUCAACUAUAUUUUGUUCUUUACUUGGGUGAUUAUUUGUUGAUCUGUUUAUUUGGUUCUUUGACAGUGGAUGAAAUCGCCUAUUAAUUGUAAUGAACCUCGGUCUCUCACAUCCCAGCAGCUGAGGAGAUCUUAAGUAAUAGUUGGAGAUGAGGGGUAUACCGUCCCUUCUUAGAAAGGUAAAUAACCAUUCUUUUAGGGAAUAAAUAGAUAACAGUUCUCUUCACAUUCAAUAUCCUCUAAAAUUUUAAGUACAUGAAUGUCGUAUAACUAUUUGUAUUGGUGGCCUAUGGAAUUUUAAGUGUAUAUACAUAAAAAUUUUAUAUCAUAACUUCAAUUUUUAAAAUUUUCACUGUCCGACACGCACUUCAAUGCUCUUAUAAAAUAUGGUUCUAUAACUUAUUUUUAAAAUUUUCGUCUUCUGAAUAAAAAUAUAACAUUCAAACUUUUAUACAGAAAAGAAAAAUCUUAAAAAUAAGUUAUAGAACUAUACUUUACAGGAGCAUUAAAGUCCGUGCCGCAUCCCCGUCCCCCAAUGUAUAUAACUCAUGGGGACGGAGGGAGUAACAGUUUGGAUAAAAAAUAAAGGGUACUUCUUAAUAAAAAACUGAUGAAGGUUUAAUUCGUUGUGUUUUAGAUAUUGACUUGUAUCUUUGACUAUUUGGUUUGACUGGAAGGAAACUCUUAAUUCUGUUAAUGAAGUUUCAUAUAUGACAUCUUCACAUCAUAUAUAUGCAUGUAGUAUUUUGUAUAUAUAUAUCCUAUCCUCUUAAUCCUGAAUCAUAUUUGUCGAAUUUAUGUAUCCUGGUAUAUUGCCCCCACGCCGGGGUUCUUGUUCUGCUCAAAAUCUCCCAAGUUCAUUUUGUUUUCUAUCUAGUAAAUUGUCUGCAAAACUGUAUAUUUGUCUGCUUUGCAGUGGAUGAAUUGGAACAACAUAUGCCCAGCAAGUCAAUUGAACCUCGGUCCGUCACUUCCCAACCAACAAAAUCUGUAAAAAUCUUAGAAGAUGAGAGAAAUACUGUCAUAAGCGAACUUCGGGGCAGGGACGGAGCCAUGAAGACUCAUCAUUCUGCUUUGGGAGGAACUUCUGAAGAGAUUGUUAAAGAGCAUGCUGUGGCGGUUGAAAGGGGUAACACUGCCACUUAAUUUCUGGAAUAAACUACAAACGUGCAUAUUGAGCUUAAUACACAAGCGCGCAACUGCACAUGAAUAUAUUACAUUAUUUGCAUAUGACUAAACUGGAAGCUGGAUUUUUAUUUCAUUGGUGGAUUUACUGUAGAUGAACCCAUAGAAGAAUCAGCUGCUGAUGACUUUGAGUAUGCUGCGAGGUAUGAAGACGUGGGACAUGCUAUGAUUACUGCAUCUCAGCCUUCCAGUUUGCAAACCAUGAAAUCGUUGCCUCAACAAGUCAAUAUGAAAAAGAUGGUGUUAGAAAAUGAAGGAGAUGCAUCCACUCAACUUCCCUGCAAUUUGCAACGGUGUGAGGAUGGCACUGAACAAGAGGAACAAGUUUUGGAGAUGCAAAAGAGUACCCCAAUCAUUAACUCACAUAAAGGUAUUGCCAAAGGCGAAACGUCAAGUUAUACACCUGACAAUAUUCUGAGGACAUUCAUUGUUGGUCUUUCUACCUAUAUGUUUUGCUCGAUAUUUCAUAUCAUGCCUGUGCUCCUUUAAUGGUCAAAUAUCUGCUUGGUUGCUUUGCAGUGGAUAAAUUGCAAGAAGCGCCACCUACCAUUAGCAAAGAGAGUCUUAGCCAGCAUUUUGGGAAAUCACUAGAUGAAGCAAGAGAGAUAUUUGGUGGUAAUUUUUAUUGUGACAUUUCCAUUAUAAAAUAUCAAUGUUAUUGCAUUAGUUAAGCUCUGUAACUUGUUUUAUAUGUUCACUAUUGUAGUUAGUCGAUCUGAAUUUAAAAGGAGGUGCAGAGAUGUUGGUAUUAAAAGGUGGCAAUAUGGCAAGAGAAAGAUGGGUAGCAACAGUUCUUCAAAGCACAAGCAAAGACUAAACAAUGGGUAUUCUACAAACAUGCCUCAUGUGCAAGAUCAACCUGUUAUUUCCCAUACAACCCGGGUCUUGAAUACGAUGGAUGAAAAGGUGAUGUAUAACGGUCUCAUUUUAAGGUUUGAACUGCCUGAACUAUCAGGAAUAUCAGAGUUAGAAGACAAUGUGAUUAAGAGGCUGCACUUGGAUAAACAGAGUUUCAGUAUCAAGUACGAAGAUGAUGGCGGUCAUUGGGUUCUAAUUACUUGUGACGAGGAUGUGCAGUACUGUAUGAAAAUGUCAAGAUUAUGGAAGAAAACAACUAUUAAUAUGUUGGUUAGCCAGACUGCUAAUCAUUAAGCUCCUUCAAAGCAGAUGACACCCAUUUUUUUCCCCUCCGAGAGAUAUUUAUAUGAUCUGCUUGCUGCCUUUUCUACAACAGUAUGACAUCUCUCAUAUUACAGACCAUAGCAAUAGCCAAUAGAUGCCCCAGACUUGUAGCAUAACUCCAAGUCCAAUGUUUGCUGUAAUUUUUGAGAUUUUUUAUUUUUUGAGCACAUAGUCGAUUUAUAAUUUUGGUGUUAUAAUUAUUUUUUUGCACAGUGAGAUGAAUUAUAAGUAAAUUUGAAAGUUUAAAAAUAUUAUGAUAUUCAAGCUGGAUACUUAAAAUAAAUUUCUAAUGGGCUUGAAGCCUUGAACCUCAAGCGACAAUCGAUGAAGUGACAAGUCACUGAAGCAAUAUUUUUUUCCGGAUCCAAUAUAUAUUUUUUCUGGAUCCAAAAUAUAUUUAUACUGUUGACAAAAUAAUGGGUCUGUUUGACUAAAAAAAUUUAAGGUCUUAUUCUUUUAGGAAAUGCAUAAUUUUAUAAUUGUUUUGGAUAUAUUCCCUCCGUCCCAAUGAAUUAUAUACAUUUAUAUACAUUGGGAUUGGACACGGAAACCAAGAAAAAACGUAAGAAAUGAUUAAAGUUAAAUGAAAAGUGGAUAAAGUGGCGGGACCUAUAUAUUUUUUUAAUAAUAGAUUUGAGAUAGUGGAGGAAAGUAGUAGGUGUAAUAUUAUUUUUAUCGGUUUUUCUAUGGUGUGCCCAAGGGCACACACUAAGCACUAAAACUUAUAAAUUUGGGAGAUUUUGAUUGGCUUACACUCUUUAAUAAUGAUGACCCCCCUUGCAUUUACAACAACCACACCAAUCAAAUCCCUUCAAUUUUAUAAAUGUUAGUGCUUAGCAUGUGCCCUUGGGCACACACUAGACAAACCCUAUUUUUAUUAUUAUAGAAUAGAGAUAGUGGAAGAAUAUAGUGGGUGUAAUAGUGUUUUAUAUUAUAAAAAGUUGCUAUUUUGGAAAUGUAUAGAAAUGAUGGGACAUCCCAAAAAGAAAACUUUAUAGAAUUGACUGGUAAGAGCUAAAGAGGUAUUUAAUUUCAUGUACUUUUUUUCACAAAUAAAUCCUUAUUUGUGAAAUCAAAAAAAAAGUUUAGCCAAACGGCCAUUAUGUUUUUCCUUGGCCCGAACCAUAUACAGUACGAGUAAGAUGUACCAUAAAUCUACUCAAAUUGGUAUAUAAUUCGUUGAUAACUCUUACCAAGCAAGAACUAAGUUACAAACCUUGUAUUUGUCUACCAGUCCCAAACCUAGUCUACUAUUGGAGACUUGACAAAAGAACAACAUACCCAGUGGCUACAAAUGCAAUUAUGUGAAUGCAAAUUUCCCAGUGGCUUCAAGAUGCGUAGUGUUUGAUAGGCCGAUCUACCAGCAUCUUAAUAGUUGUCUUUUCUGAUAACCUUGAGGUUUUUAUACAAUUCUGCAGAUCCUUGUCACAAGCAAUCAACACCCAAUCACCCUCAUCAUCUUGAUACUUGAUGCUAAAUGUGUCUCUCUCCACUUUCAGCCUCUCAAUCACACUAUCUUCCAAGUCUACCAUUCUUGAUGAAUCGAGCAAUUCAAAUUUUAUAGCAACUUCGUUAUAAGUUGCCUUCACAGUUAUCAUAUCUGUAUCUUGCAGAGGGGGGAUUCCUGGACAAUAAGAAUCUGUUCUACUCGGGUCCUCAUCACUAACUCUCCCAAGCUUAGAUGAACGCCGGCUGUCCAGCUUCUUCUUGUGAGACCGCCACCUUUUAAUACCAUUGUCUCGACAUAUGCGCUUGAAUUUCGAUCGGCUAACUAAAACCAGUAAACAUGUAGGAAAAAAUACACAACUAUGGAAUAAGUAUUUCUACAACAAUAAUUUCAUUACUGGUUUACAUAAUAUGAGCAAGCACAAGAACAAGGUCAGAAAAACAUACCAUUAAAAUGCUUCGCUACAUCAUCCUGUAGUUUACCAAAAUGCGCGCUUAGAAUAUCAUAACUAUACUCGUUUUCAGAUGGUUUCCCUUCUUUUGAUGUUUCCUCUAUGCAUGUUUUAUGUAAAACAUGAUUGCAGGAGUCAACUUUUUCUGCACCCACAACAAGCCCAUAUUUGUGCAUGGUGUGUUGAUGAGGUGGUGAUUUUUCAGUUCGAAAAUUUGAAGACUGAGUUUCAGCAUUCGUCGCAUACCCAUCUUGAACAUGCAAUUCUUGAGCUGCAUCCCCUGCAAAAUCUAUAAAUGAAGUAAAAACCAACUUUCAUUUACAUUCCGAGCUGUUAUUUAUUUAUCCAUGCAAUACCAAAAUAACAAAACAAAAACAGUGAAGAAGAGAGGAGAGCACACUUAUAAGUGUUUAAGAAGUUCAGCAAACUACUUUGUGUUAUAAAACCCAUGCCUCGUAUCAUCAUAUGAAACCCACAAGUACAAUAACAUAAGAGAAAAAAUAACCAAUAGACAUAUACACUAUAUCCAUAUCAUUCUUACAUUCAUGAGUGGACUACAUUAUGACUAAUGUGCUGCAUACUGUAUCAGAAUCAUCACGAUAAGUGACGAAAGGUGUAACUAGGGUGUUGGGAUAUACUUACGGGUCCACAUGUAACAGAAAAUCUGAUUCCACGAAAAAUGAUUCUCAAACAGUCAUAACAGAUCCUAACCAAUUGGGCCAAAUGAGAAUUAACAUGUGAUAGGCAUCAGGAGCACCAGUCUAGACUUAGAAUAUGACCAUAGUAGUGAUCUGUAUAUAGAAGUCUAGAAACUACAAUUAUGCUUAUAACCAGACAGAGAUAGCAAAUAACGGCAUAUAUUCAUAAUAAUUUGAAUGCAUAUAAAAUGGAGAAAGAAAAAGUGAUCAUUUGUAUUUUAAACUGCAUAUGACAAAUAAAUCAAUUAACAUUUUAAUUGUUGAUGAUGAUUAAUGUCACAAACACUGAAACUCGAUCAACCUUUAUGCUAAAUAACAAAUUUGUCUCUGCCCAUUUUAUAUAAUAACCAAUAACAUAUUUUCACUCUGCAAUUCCUGAGGCAUCAAGGAGUUCAUACUUUACAGCUACUCCAUAAAAAGGUAGCUUCAAAUGAACUAAUUUCUUGUCUUGGUUUGUGUGAGCAACAACAGCAGUAUUGUACCCUCAAUAUGUACUCUCAUAAGCUUGCAGGAACUGUUACUGCCUACUCUUAUCUUGCCAGAUUUCUGCCUUUUAAUGUUAUAAUCUAUACAUAUGCAUUAAUUGGACUGACUUUAUAACCAAUAAAUAUUCAAAACCUACAAGAGAUAAAAAAAUGUUAACAAUUAAAUCAUAACUGGUUUGAGCACGGUUGGAUAGCUCAAGUGGUUAAGAGCUUAUCCUCUGUCGCCCCAGGUGCUAUAAGCCAUAUUUGUCAAAAACAUCAUAACUGGUUUAUGAUUUAAGCAAAAUGAGAUAGAAGCGCAAGAACAUGUUAUACGAAGCUUUUUGUGAAAGCUCAUCAUCCACUGGUUCUCCAAAACUCCCCUAGAAGCCCUAAAUAUAAGAAUCUGUUCUCCUGGGUCCUCAUCACUAACUCUCACAAGCUUAGAUGAACGCCGACUGUCCAGCUUCUUCUUGCAGGAUCGCCACCUUUUAAUACCAUCAUCUCGACAUAUGCGUUUAAAUUUCGAUCGGCUAACUAAAACCAUUAAACAUGUAGAAAAAGAUAUACAACUAUAAAAUAAGUAUACCUACAACAAUAAUAUCAUAACUGGUUUAUAUAAUAUGGCAAGAACAAGAACAAGGUCGGAAAACAUACCAUUAAAAAGGUUUGUUACAUCAUCCCGUAGUCCGCCAAAAUGCGAGCUUCGAAUAUCAUAACUAUACUCGUUUUCAGAUGGUUUCCCUUCUUUUGAUGUUUCCGCUAUGCAUGUUUUAUGUGAAACAUGAAUGUAGGAGUCAACUUUUUCUGCACCCACAAUAAGCCCCUUUAUGUGCAUAGAAUCUUCCACUAUUGGUAGCUGAUGCGAAUGAUCCAACAUCAAUCGGUCUUCUUCAAUUUCCAUGGUUUCUUGAUGAGGUGGUGAUUUUUCAGUUUGAAAAUUUGAAGACUGAGUUUCAGCAUAUAUAGCAUACCAAUCAUCUUGACCAUACAAUUCUUUAACUGCAUCUCCUGCAAAAUCGAUAAACUAAGUAAAAACCAACUUCCAUUUACAUUCCGAGCUGUUAUCUAUUUAUCCAUGCAAGACCAAAAUAACAAAACAGAAACAGUGAAGAAGAGUGGAUGAGUGGAUGAGCACACUUAAAAGUGUUUAAGUUCAGCAAACUACUUUGUGUUAUGGAGCCAUGCCCCAUCAUCAUAUGAAAAUGAAACCCACGAAUAUAAUAACAUGAGAGGAAACCGACCAAUAUACAUAUACAAUAUAUCCAUAUUAUAGUCACAUGCAUGGGUGGACUACAUUAUGACUAAUGUGCUGCAUACUGAAUCAGAGUCAACAGGAUAAGUGACGAAAGGUGUAACUAGGGUUUUGGGAUAUUCUUACGAGUCCCCGUGUAACAGAAAAUCUGAUUCCACGAAGCAUGAUUCAGUCAUAAUAGAUCCUAACCAAUUGGGCUUCCAAGGUUCUAUAUUGUUCCCAUAUUGUUUUAAGGGUUUUUCGAUGGCAGUCCUGCAAACCAUGCUACACAUGGACUUCACACGAGGAAACGUACUAGUAUCAUUAGACUAACGAGAAUUAACACGUGAUAGGCAUCAGGAGCAAUAGUCUAAGCUUAGAAUAUGACUAAAGUAGUGAUCUGUAUAUAGAAGUCUAAAAAGUAGAAACUACAAUUAUACACAUAACCAGACAUAGUAAGCAAAUAACGGCAUAUAUGCAUUAUAAUUUGAAUUCAUAUAGGAUGGAGAAAGAAUAAGUGAGGAAUCAUAUUUAAACUGCACAUGACAAAUAAAUCAAUUAACAUUUUAAUUGUCACUGAUAAAUAAUGUCACAAACAUUGAAACUCCAUCAACCUCCAUACUUGUUCAUUUUGUCUCCGUCCAUUUUGUAACAUAACCAAUAAUAUGUCACUCUGCGAUUCCUGAUGCAUCAAGCAGUUCAUACUUUACAGCUACUUCAUAAAAGGUAGCUUCAAAUCUAUACAUAAGCAUUACUUGGACUGACUUUAUAACAAUUAAAUAUUCAAAACCUACAAGAGAUAGAAUUUCUUCAACAAUUAAAUCAUAAUAACUAAUUUAUGAUGUAAGCAAAAUGAGAUAAAAGCGCAAGAACAUGUUAUAAGAAGCUUUUUGUGGAAACUCAUCGUCCACUGGUUCUCCAGAAUUCCCCUAGAAGCCCUAAAUAUAAGACCCAUUUCAGGAUAUUCAUCCCUUCUAUUGAUGUUUCCUCUAUGUAUAUUUAAUUUAUAACUUAAAUGGUGGAACUAUCUUUUUUCCGGUUACCAAAUAACCCCUAAUAUAAAAUAGGCUGCCAAGUGGUCAAUAAAGCGACUCAAGUCCACAUGAAGGAACAACUGAAAUAAGCCCAACUCAUGCAAACAUGCUCGAAUGCACCUAGAACUCGCGGACAGUAUUUGGUCUUGGACGACCUCAUCUCCUGUCUACCACCCUACCUACAAUCAGAGAUGAUCCAAUCCAUCCUAAGCAACAAGGAGUCUUCUCCGAGACCUAAGGCCUAGUUCUUAGUCACCCGUCCAAGUGUCCGCAUGCAACCAACACAUUGACACCUGCCCACCAAAAGCUGACAUAGAUUAGAUCAUGCAUGGGGCUCUAGAUCUUACUCACCAAACUUCCAACGACUUUGAGCCUUGGUCAACACAUCACCCAUGUGAGACAUGCAGACCUCAUACCUCUGAUACAGGGAAAGCCUACGAAUUUCUCAGCUUCGUGAUCAAAGCAAAUUUAUGUUACCCAUCUCUGUUCUAUACUAAUAUUUCUAUUUGCUGCAGUAAUAUACAAAGACUAAAAAUACAGUAUUAAAUGCAUAUCCAACACCUUGACUAGCUGGUUCAUCAACUAAUAAGUAACCGAAUGAAACAAAAACCAACUUCUGUUUAUGGUAUGAGCUGACAAGCUGUCAUAGUCAGAAAAGUAUAGAAUCUAUGAUAUCACACAAAAAUGUUUCCUUGACUAACAUUGAAACAUACCUUUCCACCAUUGUAUUUGACACGCAGCACUAAGUAUGUGCAAUAUUAUGAGUAGAGAUGGAAUCAUGUGGUGCCUCUUUAAGUCUUUAGUGUUAAAUUAAAUUAUUCCAUGACUUGCAAUUCUGAAAACGUGACAAGUAGCAUGCCAUCUCCAAAGAUUGAACUGAUGGGAGAGUCAUUCAGAUUUUCAUCUAAGUGAAUUGAUAAAAAUUCAAUUAAAUGCACAUCUUUCAUAGGUUUUAUAAUCACUCAGCUGAUGAUUGGCUUCACCAUCUGCUUUUAAACUACUGGACUGGAUUAUGGGAAAUUUUUAAAGAGUAAUGCUACGCACCCCAAAUCUUGUCCCAAAUUCUUUUACCAAAUGAUGUGGCGAACAAUGGCUGAUUUUAAUUAGGUGGUUUAUGUGCAUACAUGAGCUCCCAUUAUAAUUAAUUAAUGUGAGUGAAACCAAUCAAAUAUUGCCAACUAGGAUUUGGGGGGGAAAUUACGAACAAUUUUUGGGGUACCUAGCAUUUUCCAAUUUUAAAUUAUAAAUUAGGGUUCUCCAGCAUAUUCUAAUUUGGGGGUUUAUAAGAGUCGCGCAACCCGAAACACUUGUAAAUCAAACAUACUAAAAUGGCACCAUAAAAAUAUAAAAUAGAAAAAAUGUUUAUUAAAAAGGCUUAUAAUACCUUGGUUUCCCACUGCAACCCCUUCUUGGGGCGUUAUAGCAUCCCAAUCAAAUUCCACAUUUGGACACUGUUGGAAGGCAUGAGCUCCAUCUUGGGCCUGAAACAUGUUAGCUUCCUCAUUCUCUUCCGGUGCAAUAAACUUGUUACUCUGCGCCAGAAGCUCCCCUGUAUCAGCGCCCACACACAACCCACUUCCAAAAUCCAUAGCAUCUGCACCUCUUUCAACACGCUUUUCGUGUGAUGUUAAAGGACGGUCAGGAGACAUUAAUUCACCUUUAGCACUAUAAUUGGGAAAAUUAAGCUUAGCAUUUCGACCUCUUAACCUAAAUGCCGCAUGAUCAAACGCCAAAGCAGCUUCCUCUUCCGUGUCAAAGUUGCCAAUAGAGACACCACGAAUCUUGGCUUCCCAUCCCCCAAAGGAAUCCUUACUCACUCCCAUAUAUCGGCAUACUGAUUUGACAUAUACCACUUCGUACAAAGCUCUAAUCAUACUAGUCACAGAAUCAUCCAUGGCUUCCGAUGAUUUGACGGAUGAGAUUGAUUCAACCAAUCAGAUCAUCCACACAACUCUCUACUCAACUAAUUGUUUGAUCGAAUGGAUCGAUUAGAUUUUUAAGAAAAUGGAUCAAAAUUCAAGUUCUUCAACAAAAUCUCAAAGGGCACCUGUUGAAGUGUAUCAGGUUAAGAGCAUGUUAUUAUUUAUAUGAUAUAUGAUGUGCUUACUCACAUUUAGAAAAACCAUUACUUAUUUUUUAUAAGUAACCCCGAACAAUUACCUAUUUAAUAUUUAUGAAUAAAAUAAUCCUCUCUCUCUUUCUUUCUUUGUCUAUUCUCUCCUUUUCCCCUUCUCUCCCUCAAAUUUAUUAUCAAAAUAAUUUUAAGAGAACAAAUAUAAGGAUUACUAUUAGGGUUGAUACUAAAAAUAGAUUACCUAAAUCCCCUUCUCUCCCUCAAAUUUAUUAUCAAAAUAAUUUUAAGAGAACAAAUAUAAGGAUUACUAUUAGGGUUGAUACUAAAAAUAGAUUACCUAAAUCCCCUUCUCUCCCUCAAAUUUAUUAUCAAAAUAAUUUUAAGAGAACAAAUAUAAGGAUUACUAUUAGGGUUGAUACUAAAAAUAGAUUACCUAAAUCAUUAAGAAACACUAACACUCAUUAUUUUAUAUUAUUUAUAAAUCAAUAAGAAACACUAACACUCAUUAUUUUAUAUUAUUUAUAAAUAAUAAUGAGAUAGGUAACCUAUUGGACUCGCUCUACUACCCAAAACUAGGGAUUCGCAAACCGACCCCACCUAGUAUCUGCAACCAGCGCAAGAAGCGCAAAUAUUAUGCUGAAAUAUUACAGCACCAAUCAUAAUUUUUUUUCUAAUUAUAAAUAAUAUUUUUAAUUAUUUGAUUUAUAUACAAUUUAUUAUUUAUAAGUAAUUUCAAAUAUAAUUAUUAAUUAAUAAUUAAAAUAUUUCAAAUUUAAACAUCUUUAGCAUUAUUGUUAUGCUUAUAAAUCAUAUUAUAGAAAAUAGUGUCCUUUUAUUUAUAAAAAUAAUUAUUCAACCUUUUAAUUAUAAUGAUUAUGUUGAUAAUAUGCAUAUUUCCACGUGUUUACAAAUACUUUAAAACAAAAGUUCGAUAAAAAUAUAUUUAUCCAAAUUUAGAUUCAAUACUCCAAUAUUUUGUGAAUUUCAUUAAAUUCGAACCUAAAUUUAAUAAAGUCAAAAUAAUAUAUAUUUAUAUAAAUAUUACCUAUAUUGUAUGUAUAGUGCAUAUCGUUAACAAAAAAUAAUAUAUGUAUGCUUAAAUAUUUUAAUUAAAAUACAAAAAACUAAAACUUUUAUUUUUAACAUUUUUUUAUAAUUAACUAAUUUUUGACAACCCGAUCUUUAACCGAUUUUUGGAGAAAAAUGAAUUUCAACUCGUUUAACGCUUAAUUGAGAUAGAAUCUGUUCGAGCAUCAGUCAAUUGGUAAUUAACCGUCGAUUUUUUAAACACCGAGCAUUUCACAUUAUUAAUUUAAAAUAAUAAAUAGACGCAAGCAUGGACAGGGAGUACUUGCUGUAAACUUCUUCGUCGCUGCGGACAAAUGCUCGGGCAUGAGAUGAGAGAAUGACUGAACAGUCCGAAGAAACCUCGUUACGGUUAUAGACUUAUUAAAGUUAAACAGAUGAACUUCUGAACCUUUUAACAAAUACCACUUUCUAAACGAACCGAAAUCAAUCUUUGCAAGUCUGAACAUAUAAAGUGAAACUACUAUGGAGUCUGAAUCUAGAUAUACAAAUACUAUGAAUAUUCUUUAUUAAUUACUCCCCUUUUUUUUAUCUAUUUCCGAUUAAUAUAUCGAGACUGUUUAUAACAUGAGACAAAUAAUUAAUUUACGUUUAACUUAUAACAUGAGACGGGGAGCAGUGUGUAUGAUGCAAUCAUCCAAAAGACCAAAAAGAAAACUGACGAUUUGGCAUUGCUGUGCCCCUUUUUUUUUUCCUACAAACAAAGGCAUUGCUGUGUCCUUACUUGAAUAAACUGAUGAACCUUUUCAAUAUGUCUGAUCUUAUUAUGAAGAAUGAACCAUUUGAAAUCAUGUGAAUGCAAAAGUUGUUUCAAUAAACAACUUUUUAUUAGAAAUAGGGAGGUAUUCUGCAAAAGCAUCUUUCUGCUGAUAGUUAAAAUAAUUAAAUCAUUUUUAACCCUUCCCAACUUUUAACUUAUAAUCGUAGUAUCAAUACAUUUUUUCUUAAAAAAUAUGUAAAAUCUUUAGACAAUCUUUUUAUCGGUUAUAUAUGUUGAAAAAGUUUUUAAAUAAAAUCUUAUAUUAUUUAUGAUCAUAUCAAUAUAAUAUUUUUAUAAUAACAUGAAAAGCUAACUUUCAAAAAUAACCAACAAUAACAUCUGAUCCAAUUUGUUGCGCACUUUAGAGAUCACAAAAUGUUGUAUUCGAUUGGAAUGGAUAAAUGUAAAAAUAGUGAAACAAAAUUUAAAUUUGAAUUAUUUAUUUAAAAAAAUUACUUCUUUUACCAUUCCAAUUAGGGUUAAAAAUGGGGCGGGUUCGGGGCGGGGACUUCAUUUCCCAGCCCCGCCCCAUAUAUAUUUUUCCUACCCCGUCCCCGCCCCAUUCCCCGCGGGGAUUUAUUUUUAAUCCCCAUCCCCGCCCCAUCGGGGAUUUAAUAUAAUAUCGCCCCGCCUCGCCCCGCUGCUAUAAUAUUACACUUUAUAUAAUUACUUUAAUAUUUAGUAAUUUUUUUUCAGAAUUUAAUAAAAAAAUACCAGACAUGAAUAUUAAAAGCAAAAAAUUAAAUAUAAUAGAAAUCAAAGAGACAUGUUAUACAUUGUAUAUUAUACUUUUGUGUAUUAUAAAAUAAUAAUAUUAAAUAUAAUGAAUAUAUCAUAUUAAAUAUAAUUAUUUAUUUAUAUUAAAUAUAUGCGGGGCGGGGAAUCCCCGCGGGGAUUCAACAAAUACCAUACUUGCCCCAUAUUUUGGCGGGGCAAAAAAUCAUUCCCCGUCGCUACCCCAUUCCCCAUAUUAGCGGGGCGGAUCUGCCCCAUUCGGGACAGGUCGGGGCGGGUUCCCCAUUUUCUCCACCCCAUUUUUAACCCUAAUUCCAAUCCUUAUCCCUAUAUUUAAAGGUGACACCUCCUGUUUAAGAAUGAAUGGUCCAAUCUCUAUUACUGUAUAGCGAUUCUCAUUAAAAUAAUUUUAUUUUCACUCACUCUUAGCAAAACUUUUCUCAUACUUUUAGUGGUUCUAUUUUAUUGUAGCGAAUAAAAUGGAAUACAAUGAAUUAAGCAAAUACGAGAAAAUAUAAGAGGUAGGGGAGUUUUUAAACAAAAGAAAUGAAUAGUACAAAAAUGUUAUGAAAUUUGAGAGCAAAUCAAUAUACUUAUAUGAAGGAGAAUCAUGGGGCGUUUAGGUGGCGACUCUGAAAGAGCUCCAUUCUAUUUUUCUAAUUUUCUGGAAUUUUUGGAUGAAAAAGUAUCAAAAAUAAAAAUUGCCUUUUUUAGUUUCGGAUAUAUUGGAAGAAAGUUUCAGACCUACCUUUUUCAAAAUCUAAAUCUAAUACCAUAAUGAGUUACACUAUGCUAGAUGUUUUGAAUGACGAUAGAGAUGAUUGGCUAAUAAGAGUAAGAGUUUGUCGGAUGUGGUAGUCGACAAAUUCAAACACGGGAGAACAAUAUAGUCUUGACAUGAUAUUGAUAGAUGAAAAAGUUAAUAGAUUAACUGUGAGUGAUAUAUGUUUGUUCUUUAUUUUUUUAUAAUAUUUGUUUUGUUCAUCGGAUAUGUUUGUUAUUGUUAAUUUUUAUAUGGUUUACUUUGUAUACAUGAAAAGAUUAUUCAUGCAAUACUUUCACAAUAUCUGUUUGUUCGGUUCAAGCACCUUUUAAGUGAAACUGUAUAUACAAUAUAAAUAAAGGUUGUUGCAAGGGUAGUUAUAGACCGAGAUUUUAUGGAUUUAAAUUGAUGUUUUUGCAGACAAUCAAUCCAAAAAAGGAAGGAAUCACUAAUAAACCCGUGCAUGGAUUGGAGUUCAUGUGUCCCGAAAUGAUUCAUGUUCGUACAACUAGAACAUAAUGUUUAUCCCUAUUAAAAUUAGGGAUGGUUUCAAAGUUUUAUCUCAAUAUCUUUUAACUUUUACGCACCUAUGUUAAACACAAUCAAAAUUAAGAUUUGUUGUGCUUUGAAUCGUUAAUUACAUGCAAAUUUUUAUUUUCAUUUUUUCACUCAUGAAUUAUAGUCCGAUUUUGUAAUUUUAUAUAUUAAUAUUGGUAUUGCAUCGAGAUGUUUAAAAUAUAAAAUUAUUUUAUUCUAUUAAUAUUAAUUUUGAAUCAUUAAUAUAAUUUUUAUAAGCUGCCGCAAAUUUAUUUUAUAUUAUAAAUAUUUAUAUUAAAUCAUUAAUAUAAUUUUUAUAAUCCGCUAUGAGGGAAUAACGGAUCAAACGUGGAAAGAAAUGUAAUUUUUGAACAAUUAUUUAUAAUAUUUCAAUUUCAUUUCAUUUUUUUCAAAUUCAUUCAUACCAACUGAUAAAGACGAGAUUUCUUAUAAUCAAAGAAAUAUGAUCGUGUAUACUUCUACAGUUCUAUUUGCAUAAUCUGAUGAACCUUUUAAACCUUCUCUUUUUUGUUUUUGGAUGAACCUUUCAGAACAAUUUCAAACCCUCACCCCAACUACUUUGUUAUCGGAGACUAGAAAGGGACAGACAAAUAGUACAAUAUUUUAUUUUUUUCUGCGUGUUUAAAUCCCCAUUCCCCUGCCUCUAUCCGUAUAUAUUCUAGCAAGGAGAGCUCAAAACUUCAAAUUAACUCUCAUUCUAUUUUUCCUCUUCAUUCAAUAAAUAUUCAGAUGUCUUCUCCAGCUCCACAAUUCAUUUUCAGCAACUAUUCUACGCAACUUAAUGUUGCAUUCAUCAACAUAACACCCUCACAAGCACGCGAAAAUGGCAACCAUGCUAUUGUUGGCAUUUUCGGAAUAGCUCUUUCAGUCCUCCUCACAGCCUUGCAACUCAAGUACCAAGCAGGAACCGAUUCUGCAUUCCAGGAUCACCCUAUAGCGAUGGCGAUCGCUAUAGCCAGUUUCCUUCUUUUCUGCUUGGUAUGCGACUUGGAACAAUACUUUGGCUCCACUCGUCGUAACUCAGCUUUUGCAAUAGUAUUGCAUCACUCGCUCAGAUUGCUUGGUUUCCUUUCACUAGCAUCGUUGGCCUCUGUCAUUUUCUCGACAUCCACAAGCUCGACUUCGUCACUCAUUUUUUAUCUGAUUUUCUUAUGCUUUUUUGCAGUAAGGUCAGGUUUGCACUGGAUUCAGAAUAGAAAGUUAGAUAGAAACAGAGGAGCCUGCAAUUUUCACAAUUUAUGUUGAAAUAUAACAUAAAAUCCAUUUGGGACCUUCCUCUAACACCUUAAAGUUUUAGAUGGACUGUUUCUCAACAUGGUCGUGAUCCACUUGCACCCCCACAUUUUGUUUAUAGUGACUAAUUUGUGUACCGUAGAGCUUCUGUGAAUGUUCUUUAGUCACAUCUACUACGCAUGAAUCGGACCAUGGAAGCACUGAAUUUGGGAUCAGAAGAAUGGAUGAUUGAAUGGUGUUUGAAUAGUUGUAAAAUAAAUUGAAGCAGAACAGAGUUGUUCUUUCGCCAUGAGCAGGAGUUCAAAAUUGUUAUUUGAGGCUUUACUAUUACCCUAAUUCUCUUAUGUUUAUGUGGAAGAGUUAAAUGUAGAAAUCUGAACCUGUAUUUUGUGUCUCUGGCCGUACACAAACUAUAUAAACAAUAAAUUUCUAGAUUCGUUCCUAAACUUAAACAUGAUUAUUUAUAAUAAUAUAUAUGACAAAAUUAUAGAAAAAAUGCUUGAUAUACAUAACUAUGUACAAAAUUUUGAACAUGUGGUGGGUUUUAAUUGGAAUGACCGCAUGGAUUUACAUUAACCAUCCCAAUCAAAACUCACCACCCCACCACAUCAACUAUCAACUGUCACAUCAUCAUUAUGUACAAAUUUUCCGUACACAACUAUGUGCACGUAACACUACUCAAAUAAUCAAUAAGGUGUUCCUAUCUCAGCACCCGACAACUGAUCCUUUGAACUUUGAACCUUUUAAGUCCAUGAAUCGAACCGUAUCGAAUCACAUGUGCUCAUCCUUAGUGGCUAUUCAAAGUUUUUAUAUUCGUCAUUUGAAGUCUUGAACCUUUUAAGCAAGACAUGUUGCUUUUUGAACACCAGAACACCUUUUGUUGGUGUUAAGGUGUAGUGAAUCUUUUCCAUCAAAAUUUUGACCUGUUCUGUAUCACUGUAUGACAUAAAAAUUAAGGUCUUUGAACUGUUUUCUUUUAAUAAAGCUCCUUUAUUUGUUGUUUUGUCUUCCGAGAAAAAGAGUCACCUUAGGUCAUGCAUGACCUCCGGUAGAACUUUUCCUUUAGAAAAAUCCCCUAAUCAGGACAAAUUGGAUUAUAAAUAUUUGAAUAUGAGGAUUGUCAAUUUUUACUCUGUGUUAAAUACUUGAUAAAUAAAUAAUUUUGAUGAUAUUUAGGUACUGUUUGGAAACAUGGAUUUCAUUUGAAAUGUAGGAUUUCAAAUCCAGAAUUUGAAAUCCAGAAUUUGAAAUCCAAAUCCAUUGUUUGGGAAUAUUAGAAUUUCAAAUCCUGGAUUUGAAAUCCAAAUCCACUGUUUGGGAUAUCUUAGUAUUUCAAAAGCUGAAUUUGAAAUUUAAACAAAUUUUUACGUAAAAACUUAAUCAUAACUCCAAAUUUAAUCACAAAUGCGUACUUGAAUAUUUAUCUAAAUAAUAUUUUGAAGUUGGCGAUACAUGAAGAUAGAUAUUUAAUCUCAUUCAAAAUUACAAAUAAAGUCUAAGAUAAAAUUCAAACAAAAAUACAAAAACUUCACAGAGACAUGUAUAAUUGAUCAAACAAAAAUACCAAAUUCAAGAAUCUCAACCUUAACACAAAAAUGCUAAUCAAGCACUGAUAACUAUACUGCAGAAACCUGAAAUUAUAUCUGAAAUGCUAGCACAAUCCGGCGUUACUCACACUACACGCUAGCACAAUGGCUUGUUCACCAAAUCUCCGGCAUUACUCACACUACACGCUAGCACAAUCCCGUUCCCAAAAUAGCCCUUCGGCAAGGGAGGAUUCACCAAUCUUGAUCUUCCGUCAACAACAAAUAAUAGCUUGAGUUGUUGGUCUGGUUUCAUCUGAAGAGCUUCAGUUCUUGCCCGCCACACCAAGGCCGUGAGGGCCACAAAUGUGGAGCAGUUCUUGAUGGUCCCGUCUUCCAUGAUCAACUUCUUUAACCUCAUUAGCUUCUCUUGAUCGAAGUUGAAUGCUUUGUAAACCAUCUCAGAUUCUCUUAUAACAAGUCCAACACCUUCUGUGUUCUUCUUGUCACCAUCAGGCUUAAAACAAUACACUGUCUGAAUUAUUGAAGCAAUAUUCUGAUCGAGAUUCGACAAGUAAUAGUAUUCUGGAAUGUGCAUAAAGACUUUAGCAUGAGGAAAAAGACUGAGAAAGCAGAAAGAUUAAAACAUGGAGCAAGUAUAGGAGUUUCCAUCUUUCAUAAAUUUCCAAGAUUUUGAUAAAAACAAAAACCCAAUAAACAGUUUCGAAUUACAAGUUAAUAUCACAAUCAAAAUUCAGAAAAGAUUCUACCUUAUCUUUGAACAAAAAAGUAUACCUGAAUCAGAUGAUGACUUCCCAGCAGAAGAGGCCAGUAACAUUCUGAUUCAAGUGUUUAGGAUCAAGUACACCAGACCCUCACACUUUAGAUUAUGAGCUGUAUGUAUGUAAAUAAAUAGAAAGAAUGCUGGCAUUUCUCAAUCAAAUGAAUCCAUUAUAAAUGCAAGCGAAAAUCGUGCUGCACUUUAACAUGACAACCCACAGAACCACAUAGAAAAAAUGUAUAAAAGUCAUAGAACUCCAGUCCCUCCUACUAGAUAUUCUUCAAACAUUGUUUUGGCAAGUUGAUCUCUAAAUUCAGUCCACUCAUUGGUAGAUCGAGCAGUUGAGAUGAAAUCCUCUUCUUUAUCUUCCACAUCAAUUGCUUCCAUAGCUUCUAGCUCUUCUUCAACCUCUUGCAUAUAUGUUGUUUCUUCCAUGUUUUCACAGAUUAUAUACACAAAUUUAAAAUUUUAAAAUGAGAGCAGAAAUUUAAAAUGACAACUACACAGAUUAUAUACACAAAGUUAAACCCUAAUCACAAAAAUGAGAGCAGUGAAAUCAUAAAUCAUAGGCAGACACAUAGGCAGACUUCUAAAAAUUAUUCAAUUCACUUUCACAGGUUUUUUAUUAAAUCAUAAAUCUUUAAGCACAAAGUCGCAACAGAAAUACCACAGGUCUCAACAUAUUAUUUAUAAUAUAAGUCUAAAUUAUAUACUUAGAAAAAACUUCAAAUUCAGGAAGAAGGUUACAAAACGACCUAAUUAUACAGUUCUAGAUUUAGAAUUCAAAACAUCUGCAUAUAAUACAGGCAUCUGAUGGGCGAAGCCCUGGGGUCUUUGCCAGCCAAGGAUCUUAAAGGCCUGGAAACUAAACUACAGAAUGGACUUUGCAGAGUCCGCUCCAAAAAGGUCCUUAUACAUUCAUAGAAUAUGCUGAUUAUUUCCUAAUAAGAAUUACUUGUUGAAGUACUGAUUCAGAAUAUAUAAACUGCAAAAUGAACUUCUAUUUGCUGAAAUCGAAUUCAUGCGGAAGAGGGUUAGUGCUCAUUUAAUUAGUAUAUAUUUCUCUAUAUUAUUCCUUCAUUUAUUUCCAAAGUGCUCUUUAUUUAUGAGACUAAAGGUAAGGUUUGCGUGUACUGAGACUCCUUGGAUUGUAACUAGUUCUAUAGCUCAAAUUCCUAAUUAAACUGACCAAAAGCACAACUUUCAUGUUUCUAGAUUUGCCAGUAUUGGAUUGUAUUCGAAACGGAAGGGUCUUUGGAAUGGCAGGACUGGAAGGAAGAUGUAAUUGCUCUGGAGAUGCGAAGCUUUAGUCGUUUUGCCAUUACGCAAACACUUAAGCUAGCAGUGAAAUGAUAAUUGAGAGGGGUCUAUAUAACAUGGAGAGAUGGACGUAUUUAUGUGAAUACAGUGUAUGUUACAGUAGCAGAUAGUCUGAGCGAAAUGUGUACAAAUCGGAAAUGUGUACCCGAAAUAUUAUAUCGAGGCACGCACCUAGUGAGUAGGCUAUAAUUGAGAAUCAUUACUCCUCAACUAAUUCAAAUUUUUACAAUAUAUAACACCCAAACCUGAUUUUACCUCGUCUACUGUAUAGGCAACAGAUUAGGUCUUUGUGAUAGAAUUCAAAUCACCUGCCAUCUAGCAGUUCUGGACAAUAUACAUAUACACACAGAUUAUAUACAGAAGGUUAAACCCUAAUUACAAAAAUCAGAGCACUGAAAUCAAUUACACGCACAUAUAUACAUAUAAAUAUCAAAUUAAGCAACAAAUUGAUAACAAUAUAAUCCAAUACUGGCAAGAGAGACAAGGAGAAAGAGAGAUACAGAGAGGGCGAUAGGAAGAGAGAGAGAGGGGGAGAGAGAGGGAGAGAGAGAGAGGCAGAAAGGGAGCGAGAGGGAGCGAGAGGGAGAGGGAGAGAGAGAGGUGGAGAGAGGGAGAAUUGCACCUUCGGAGACGGAAGGAUGGCCGGAGCGAGCAGCAGCGUGAAAGCAGGGGAGAAGAGGAGCGAGCAGCAGAGUGGAUCGGGAAGGAGGAGCUGGAGUGUGCGUUUAGUUUUUUUAUUUCAAAUGACAUGUUUUGGAAUGGCAUUUCAAAUUAUUCUAUUUUGACUUGUGUUUAAGUUUGGAUGGAAUUGAACAAAUCCAAAUUCUGAAUUUUUAAAAUUUGCCAAACAAGAGAUUUGCACAAAUCUUGGAUUUGAAAUCAAAUCCAUGUUACCAAACAGGGCAUUAAGUUAUUCGGACUUGGUUAAAAGUGUUCAACGUGUCUGAAUGUCACUAAUAAUUUGAAGAUUUUACAAUUUUUUACAUCCAAAAUAUAUAAUAGAAUAUCUUUAUCAAUGUAUGCUUAGGGUAUUUAGUGUCGGACACGGUACUCAAUCCCAAAUAAAGAGUCUAGCUAAGACAGGAUAUUCAUAUAUUUGAGUUGCACCCCUUUUUGGGUUAAUUUGUCCUUGAGAAAUAAGAAAAGAAAUUCCAUGCACAUUGUGCAAUGUUGCAUUAUUCUGCAUAAAUUAGUAUGUAGGACAAAGAUGUCAUGCUGGUGAACCUUUUACAUUGCUAGGCCGAAAGGUCGCACUUUAGAACAAGUCCAAAUGUUCUGAUACUCCUAUAAAACUCUAUAUCAAGAAGAGUUGCAGAAUCUCCAAAUCAAUUUCUUUUGGCUCUGCAAAGCAUUAUGAUCAUCAAUUUUGGUCAUGAUGAGGUAACUGCUAAUGAUGCGGCUACAAGGAACAUACUGAUUCAGUUCUGGGAAGCAAGCACCGAGGCUACUGAAGGGGGGCGAAGAUACUGUGAGCUUACCAUACCAGAAAAUUCAUUUGAAAUUCUUCCAUAUGAAGUCGGAGGCCUAUCAUUGUACCGGAUGCACUCCAUUUCUUGUACUCAUAGAAUACAACUUGAUGAUGAAGAAGAUGACUACAUAAUACAGAGUAAGCAGCAAGAGGGAGUAAUUAGUCGCGUAUUCAGGUAUAAAAGGCCUGAGAUGACUCCUCACAUAUCUUUUUACUCUUUACAUGAAUACCCACAUAGAGAGUUUGCUUUAAGUUGUGGGAUUCAGCCUUCUUUGUGUUUCCCUCUAUUUAAAACUGCUGAUUGUUCUGGCCACCCCCGGGGUGUUGUUGAACUUGUCUCCACUUGUGAGCAAGACCUUGAAAACUUCAAGCAGUAUUUCGAGUCAUGCUUCUUUGUACAGGUGUGUGAUUCAAUCCAUUUCCUCCUUUGUGUUUGAAGCAAUGUAAUAUUCUUCAUUACAUGCCAAUUUCAUUCUUUACUUGCAGAAAAUGAGGAUGUAUACAUCAAGAGACUAUAUAUUAUUCAAGUUUUUAAGAAAAAAUGUAAGUAAGACUUUGACAUGAAAAGCUUUUAGUACACUUCAAAUAUGUUCAGACAAUUGUUUGACUACAUAUAUAUACUUUUUGUAUCAGGACCUAAAUCCUGCACUCUGGCAAAUGGACCAUGUCUUGACACUGGUGUGUCAAAAAUUCCCUUUGCAUCUUGCUCAAUUCUGGGUCCUGACCAACCCUAAAUUAGGAGCCCUCAGCGUAAUGUCUCAGAAAAGUAAUCUAGAUUCCGAAGAGUUGGCACCCUUGUGUAGGUUCAAAGAUGCUUGUUUGCAGACGCACUUGAACAUAGGUGAAGGCCUUGUUGGCAAAACAUGUCUAUUCCGUAAAUCCUUUUCUUGCAGGAAUAUUAAAAAAUUCAACAUUACUAACUACCCCUUGGCACACUAUGCACGAAGCUGUGUAUCAAUUGCUUGUUUUACAAUAUUCUUGCGUAGCUUUUUCCCACCAUUUGGAGAAUGUGUACUAGAGUUCUUUCUGCCUUCUCAAGAACUGUCUAAUUAUUACCCUCAAACCAUGUCGAACUCUCUAUUGACAACAGUGAAGGAGCAUCUUCCAUAUUAUACAUUUGAUUUAGGAGAAGAAUUGGGAGAAGUGCCAACAUUAGAAGUUAUCAACUCUUCUUCAACCAGGGAAAUAUUUAAACGAACACACAAGAAUGCUGUUGCAGUAAUCAAUUGUUAGUCCUUUUACCUAUUUGUUUAGCUCGACAUGUUCCAGCCUUCUUCUGUUUUUUAUUUGGUAAAUAUAUCAGCCCAACUAAUUAUUUUGUUGCUUUGCAGUAGAUGAAUUGGAAGAAUCAUCUGUUAAGCUGAUAGAACCUCAGUCUCUCACUCCCAAACCUAAUAGGUCUAAAGAAAUUAUUGAUGAGGCAAACACUAUGGAGAUCAAUCAUUUCAGCCUGGAGAUUACUCUGGAAGAGGCUAUAAGGAACAGAGAAUACACUGUGGCUGCUAGAAGAGGUAAUACAACCUCAGUUGUGCAGGAAAAACUUCAAAGUGCAUACUUUACCAAAUAUACAAGUCCUUGUAAAAUUUAUAAAUUUUUUGCACUCCACCAAAAUGGAAGACGGAUUUUUGUUUUCUUGGUGGAUUCACAGUAGAUGAACUGCUCGAAGACGUUGGACAUGAUAAGACAACUGCAGUGGGUUCUAGUUCACAAACCAGGAUAUCACUACCUCAUCAAGAAGUCGAAGAAGAAAAACUGACAGCCGAUACUUCAGUUCAGAAACUGAUCCUGACAGAAGAUGUCUUCCGAAUAAAAAACAAAGGGAUUAUUGUGGGAGCAGAAAAUGUUGAUAGACCAAUCCAAUUCGUGAGCAAAACAAGCUUACAGGAUGAAUUAGAAACAGAGAAACAAGCAGAAAAGAAAUUCAGUUAUGAGAGUCUUAGUCAGCAUUUUGGAAGGCCACUAGACGAUGUAGCAAAGAGAUUUGGGAGUAAGUUCCCUUCUACCAUGCUUAUUUUAGUUUAUUUGAUUCCAAAUUUUUUUCCUAAAUGACGUGGCAGACCUAUGACUAAUUUUAAUUGGAUGGUUGUUGUGCGUACAAGAUCCCAUAUUAUUAUUACUGUGAGUUGAACCAAUCAAACAUUGUCAACUAGAUUUGGAAACACUUUUUGGUACCUAGCAUUUCCUUUUUUAAAUACAAUAUCUAAUCUCAAUUUUCACUAUCUUAGUCAGUCGAUCUACAUUUAAACGCAAAUGUAGAGAUCUUGGUAUCAAAAGAUGGCAAUAUGGAAGGAGAAGUACGGAUGACAAUGUUUCCUCCAAGCUCAGAGAAAGAUUGAAUGCCAAGGAACCGAGUAAAAGAAGAUAUACUUGUUCAGGCAUUUCUUCCGUGCAGGAUAAAUGCCUGAACAAGGUUGCUACUGCAGAUAAAAGGCAAGACCCGAAGAAGAUGAUUGUAGAGGCAACAUACUACGAUGCUACCAUAAGAUUUGAACUACCUGGUUUUACAAUUGCAGAAUUAGAAGAUAAUAUCAACGAGAGGCUGCACUUGGAGAGGCAAAGUUUCGUCAUCAAGUAUGAAGAUGAUGAGGGUGACUGGAUAUCAAUUGCCUGCGACGAGGACUUGCAGGAAUGCGUGGAAAUAUCAAAAUCAUCAAACAAUACAACAAUUAAGAUGUCGCUGGAUCCACGUAUUAAUCCCCAGGCACAGUGAAUACAGAUGUCACCUUGCUCCUAACACUAAAGAAGUCACGGUUCUCUGUCUCCUCUGUCUCCGUAUAUCAGUACUGUAAUUUCAAUCCUGUCUAUGUUGUAAUUUAACCUACAUCAACGUGUAGAUGCAUUAGUGUUUAUCCAUCAAUCGUCGCAGGUAAAUUUGAGUGGAAUUCUUUAGGCGUGGUAAAUAUUUAGCCGUUUAUGAUGAAGUGUAAUUAACUGAUCCGAUUUUUUAGUGUGCUGACACACUGACAAACCACUUUUUAAGUGAUGAGGUGGAUUUUUAUUAAUUUUAAUCUUAUUAAUAAUCAUGACCCUCUCGCUGUCACGCAUGCAUAAAAAUAUCCGUUAAUCAAAAUCUUGAACCUAACUAAAUAAAGCAGUACACAAUAAGAAAAACCAUUAAAUUAAAUUGUGUAAUUUAUAGUUGGGAAUAAAUUAUACAUUACGCUAUUUAACAAUGGUUUGACACUAAUGCAGGCCAGCUCAUCAUUCACGAGUCCUCUAAUUUAAAUUAUAUUAAAAAUUAUUUUUGAUUGUUAUAUCUUGAAUAUUUUUAUUAAAUAAGAUUAUAGAUAAAAAUUUAAAAAAUAAUAAUCCAAACUAUCUCUUUUAAUACCUUAAAUUAAACUAAUUGUAAAAAUCAAAAAAUAUGUAAAAGGGACCAGAGAGUAUAUAGCUUGUCGGUCUUUGGUGGUUUGGCUUUUUCUUGUGUGGUCCUUGCAUGAACUGAGAACCUUUUUGAACCCUUUCAUUUUUUGUUUUCCAUGAACCUCUUCAAAUAUAUUCAGUAGAAGCAGCUUCUGGCUUUUGCUUUUCUUGACCCGUUUGUGUAACAGCUUCUGCUUCUUUUCCAAAUAUUUUAUUCACUUAUUUACUUCUCACUUCUGCUCCACUUCUCUAGUUUAAGCGAAAAGUCACUUCUUUUAAGCUUACUCAAACGGCCCCUUAGUUAACAGAAACUAGACAGGGACUUGGAUGACAGAUGCAAUACAGUAUUUUUCAUAAACAAGUAUAUAAAUGUAGGAAAGCUCAUGGUACUUCAACAAACCUGCAAAUCAACUCUGCCUCUUUUUUCUUCUUAAGUUACUGUUUCUAUUUUCAGAUGUCUCCUCACCAAUUCAUACUCAGCAACUAUUCUAUGCAACUCAAUGUUGCAUUCAUCAACAUAGCCCCCACACGAGCCCGAGAAAAUAAUAAUCACGCGAUUGUUGGCAUUUUGGGGAUAGCUGUUACAGUCCUCCUCAGCGCCUUGCAACUCAAGUACCAAGCAGGAACCGGUUCUGCAUUCCAGGAUCACCCGAGAGCCAUGGUUUUCGCUAUAGCAAGUUUCCUUGUUUUCUGCUUGGUAUGCGACUUGGAACAAUACUUUCGCUCUACUCAUAAAUAAUGCAGCUUUUGCAACAGUACUGCACCACAUCCUCAGAUUGUUUGGUUUUAUUUCACUAGCCUCUUUAGCCUUUGUCAUUUUCUCGCCAUCCACAAGCUCAAGGACGUCGCUCAUUGUUUAUCUGAUUUUCCCCGGGUUUUUUUCAGCAAGGUCGGUUAUUCACUGGAUCCAGAAUAGAAAUUUACGUGGAAACAGAGGAGCCUGCAAUUUUGAUAAUUCACACCCGCACCUUGUGGAUAGGGACUAUUUGAACUACGUAGAUACUCUUCCAGUGUACCGCAGAGCUCCUGAGAAUCUUGUUUAGUCACUUCUGGUCCCCUAGUUGUUUUUGGUUUACAAUUCAGCAUGUCAGCUUAAAUCAGGGGGCUUUUGGCUCAUGAUUAAUGAGCCCGGUUAACAAGAAUCAGAACCUCAAACUCAUGUGUUGGUAUUUGGGUUAACCAUUUUGUGGUACGGAAUUUUUGAGUUGUAGGCUUUGUCAAGUUGUAAUUACUUUGAUUAACUGAUACAAAUCUUUAGCAGUGCAACGAAAUUGAAGAUCACAUAAACCACAAAUAUCAAAGUCUUAAUUAGUUACUUCCUCCGUCGCGGUCAUUAGUUAUCAAAUGGGCUGGACACGGAGACCAAACACUGAAUAAAUAAUGUGGAAACAUGCCAGUGAAUAUAAUUAAAAAUAACAUAAGUGAGAAUAAUGGUGGGAUCCGUCGACAAGCAACUCGUCGCACAAAUAUGCAAUGAUCGUGAGAUUUCGUUACAUUUCCGACGUCCUUGAACCAUGUACUUCUAUUGUUUACGAUGAUUGAUCGGAGGCUCAACCAACAACAUGAUUGAUGUUUUCUUCAAUGAUCGUGAGAUUUCGAUGCAUUUCCGCACGUCCUUGUCACAAGCGAUCAAGAUCCAAAUGUCCUCAUCAUCUCGGUACUUAAUACUGAAACUCUCCCUCUCCAAGUGCAGCCUCUCGAUCACAUUAUUUUCUAACUCUGCAAUCCCUGAUGAAUCAGAUAAAUCAAACCUUAUAGUCACACCAUUGAACAUUGCCCUUACAGUCACCUCAUUCAAGGUUUGGCUUAUCUGAUCAACAGCAGGUGCUUUUUCCCCGGGAGGCAAACCCGAAUGAAAGUUUUUUCCAGCUUGUUCAUCGUCACUUGAUCUUCUCCUAAGAUUAGAUGACAUGUUUCCUUUUAUGCUUUUCUUGCCUCGUCGCCAGUCAUUAAUACCAAGACCUCUACACUUGCGUUUGAGUGUCGAUCGACUAACUAACAUAUUGAACAUUCUAAAUAAGAUGCACAGCUAUAAUAAUGGUUCAACAGAAAAUAACUUUUUUUUGAAUAAUGAAAGCUGAAAGAAGUGCAAGAACAUAGAAGAGACCGACUCAACCAUGAAUUCUUACGAAGAAAUUUAGUUUUAGUGUUUCUAACUGUGUAAUUUGUUCGGCAUUUCUUCACUAGAUUAAUAUGUAUGAAUUGUACACCUUAAUUAUCUGUACUCGACUACAUUGGCUUUGCAGCAGAUGAAAGUGUUCAAGAAUCACCUGUUAAUAAUAUUGCUUAUGCUCUCACUAAUGAAGAUGUGAACUAUGCUCUAAAUAAUAAAGACGACAUGAACCUCGAGAAUGUUAGUAAGCAUUUCGGAAGACCACUCAAUGAUGCAGCAAAGAGCUUUGGAGGUAGGUUAUAUUCUACUGUACUUCUAUCUUUCAACUUACAUUAUUCCCAAAACAUUCAUUGCCUAAGCAUUGUUGUGUAUUUAUUUUGAUAUUGAACAUUUUAGUUAGCCGAUCCACAUUCAAGCGCAUAUGUAGAGGGCUCGGUAUCAAGAGGUGGCAAUCCGGGAAGAGAAGAAUGAAUGGUAACUUUUCAUCUAGGCUCGGAAAAGGAAUAAAUCAGGAGCAACCAGGUAGAAGAAAUUUUGGUAGCACCAGCAUGGCAGCUGUGAAUGAAACAGUUGUUGUGCAUUCUAGCCAAGACUUGAAUAAGAUGAUUGUAAAGGCAACUUAUAAGGAUGUUGCAAUAAGGUUUAAACUACCUGAUUUAUCAGGAAUUGCAGAGUUGGAAAAUAAUGUGAUUGAGAGGCUGCAUUUGAAGAGAAAUAAUUUCACCAUCAAGUAUCAAGACGAGGAGGGUGACUUGGUUUUGAUUGCCUGUGACAAGGAUGUGCGAGAAUGUAUUGAAAUCUCGAGAUCUUUGAAGGAAACGACAGUCAAAUUGUUGCUUGAUCUGCCUCUUAAUCACAAUGCACUUUGAAAGCAUAUG